CCGGGCGCCGUAGAGGGCGUCUCUUCGGGCGCAGAAGCCGGUGCCGGAGAGGAUCGGGCCCCGGAGGCCGUCCAAACCUUUCCACCGCGUCUGCAGCCGGUCGAUCGGUCCAUGCAUGAACCAAGAUUUACUCAACGUACAUAUACUAGUUAAAACUGUAGGGAAGAUUGAUUGAUUCUUCUUACCCAGAAGAUGGACCUGAGCUCGUUGGCGUAGAUGUCGCUACUGCUGAGAUUGUGGAACAUCUGAGGGAACUGCACGAAGGCGAGGUCGGCGGGGCGGCGGCCGUCGAGGUGGAAGCACAUGGCCUCGAGGACGGAGCUCCUGCUGUUGCAGUACAUGUCGCAGUCCAGCACCAUCACGUACGGCGAGUUGCUCAUCAGGCUCGACACCCGGAGCUGCAUUGCACAUAUUGUAACAAGUAAAAGAUGAGAUCAACUCUAACAAGUAAGAUGAUCGAUGGCCGAACAGUAGGUGCUCACGAGGGCGUUGAGUGCGCCGGCUUUGAAGUGGUGAGCCGACGGCCUCCGCUUCUCGCGGGACACGUAGACCAGCAAGGGCAUGGCGUCCUCAUCCUCGUCCCCGGAGUCGAUGUUGCUGCCGUCGGUCAUCAUCUGACAUGCAUGGUGUGGGUAUUAGUGCGAUCUAUCGAUCAGCUGCGCACCGGCGGCUUCGAAAUGCAACGAGGGUAACGUUACCUCGAUGUGGGCGUCGUGAUCUGCUUUUAUCCAACUCUGAGAAAGAGCUGCGUCGUUCAUCACCUCCUCCACACCCUCGUUGAACGUCUCAUACAUGUUCUGCAAAGUUGGAAGAAAACAAAUGUCAGGGCGAUGCCGUCGGUGUCGCUACAGCCUUGGUUGCUCGGAUGGGCCGCACCCCGCCGAAUUAGCUGGACCAGCGCUCGAAUUCAGCUGGAAGCAAUUGUUGAUGCUUGGGCGAGGUGCCGCCGGCACCGCAGUGAGCCGAGAUGCCGCGAACCGCACGCCAAUAAGACCAUCUCCAACAAUUCGCAUAAAAAUCCACUUUACAGCACGUAACGCGCCGGCAUUCCAGCACACGAGUAAAAACUCAGCGCAUUCAACAUGCAUUUCUAAUCAUCAUAGGAUAUUUUAAACGAUACAUAGCAUAGUUGCAUAGAUAGCCUAAAUAAAUAGAAAAGGGUAAAAACCGAUAAAAAAACUAUAUAACAUAUCAUAGAUAAAAAAUCGAUAAAAAACUAUUCCUCAUCAUCGUUGUCGGACUCCGACGCGCCGGUGUCCGAUUCCUCCGUUAUGAUGAAAGCGUCAGUCCAGCGUUCAUCAUUAAAGGACUAAAUCGACGAUUCCUUAGUUCCAUCUGAAAGAGUACGGCUUGCUUCCGAGUACGCCUAUCUUCACGAUAGGUGGCUUGCUUCGCCCUCCUCUCCGCCCUCCUUUGCACGAAGAUUCGCGCUCGUCGAGGACGUCCGGCGAAAACUGUCGGCGCCACUACCCAUGGCAUGCUCGUCCAUCUCAGCAAUGCUAAGGCGGCGCUCACGUCUCCGGUUCCGGCGACGGUACUCGUCUGUGACAACCCGUGGACGAGGCGCGAGGUUCUGCACCCACUCCGUCAUCAUCACCUCGGGGAAAUUCAUCUUCCGACGAGGCCUGUUGAGGCGCCACGCCCCCGCGUCAUAUGCGCGGGCGGCCUUGUGGACGGUCUCGAACGUGCCGAGGCCGAGGCGCAUGUCGCCGGAUCGGAUCUCGAUGUACAAGGUGCCUAAGGGGUGUGCGCGGACGCCGCGAUAGCCCGAAGUUCCCCCGCGGCGCGGCGACAUGGUGGCGCGGCGGCGGCAAGGCGAGAAAAGAGGCAGAGGGACGUGUGGCGAGGCGAGGGGGCGACAGUUUCGAUGGAAGGGUGCGUGGCGGACGCUUCAUUUUAUAGGCGCGUUGGACGCCGCACCCCAAAUCCAGCGUGCAUCCGCCCGCUUUUUCCCAUACACGCAACCAUUUUCCACGCGCCUGACCGUCUACGCUGAAGCACGACACCGUCCCGCGUGCGUUAAAAUAGUGUUUUACGUACACGCGUUCUUUAACGCCGCUGUUAGAUGCUCUAACCUACAACCUGCGAGGCAUUUUGCUGGAAUCGAGCGAGCCAAUUUUGCUGAGAUUUUUUGUUGCAACCGGCAUGCAUUUUUUGCUACGACCAGGUGACAUUUUUGCUGCGUCAAACAACCAAGGUGACGUAUAUCGCAAGCUCGGGUGUCGCGGAAUACGGUAUUUAUUUGAUACUUGUUGCUUCAAACUGCCUGAGCUUCACACAUACAAGCAACCAAGCAGCUACGCAACAGGCCAGUCCGUUUAAACAUUCCAAUGCCCCCGGUUUGGGGAACCAUUCCCAACCGGUUUUGUCUGGUUUUAGUACACUUUUAGAAAGUUUCUUGAACCAGUUUUUUCUAUGUUCUUGUUUUUUUUCUUUUUUUCUCUUUUUUCUAUUCUCCCAUUUUUUUCUUUUUAUGUUUCAUGUUUUAAAAAUCUUUGCAAUUUCAAGAUGUGCUUGUUAUUAAAAGAAUAUUCAGGAAUUUAAAAUUGUUCAUGGUUUCUUUAUGUUUGUCAAACAAUAUUUGAGAACUAUAAAUUUUGGUCAAUUUUUUAAAACAUGUCUUUGUUUUACAAAUUAGGAACCUCAAAAUUGUUCGUAAGUUCCAAGAAAUAUUAGAAUAAAAAUAAAUGUUUGAGAUCUGCCUCUACUGUGUGUUUUUGAAUAUUUGUGCUAACCAAUGAUUAACUGCCGGCGGCAGCUCCAGUAGCUAGCUGCAUGUGGUUUGAUGUGCGAGGGUGUGUGUUCGAGUCCUUCCAGUGUCGGCCCAGUAGUGGACCCUCUGUUCGACACGCGUUCCAUUUACCGGAAAACCCGGCAUAUAGGAGCUCCCGGGUGUCGCCACCAACGGUAGGUGCACGAUGAUGUGUGGGCAGUGGGCCGGUCCAAUUAGCGCAUCCUUGUUCGCUCCCGAUCAAGGAAAAAAGGUUAGCACCUUUUGCUCUAUAAGAAAGGUGAUUGGGAAAAGCCCAGCAACGUCUGGCUAAAAAAAUCUAUGUUAGUUAAAGAAAUGUAGAUUUUACAAAAUAUUCACAAACUUAAUUUUUCCUAAUUUUCUUUAAAAUGAUCAAGAACUUAAAAAAUGCUCAUGAUUUUUCUAAACAUGUUCACGAAUUUAAGUUAAAAAGAGGAAACACAAAUGAUAUAAAAAAGGAAAUUUAAAAGGAGAAUACCAACAAAAGUUGGUAAAGAGAAAUGAAAAUACGAAAUGAAACAUCAGGUUGAGCAACGAAUGAUGGUCACGAUGGAGCAUACCCUAGGAUGGCUGGUGGGGUAUGCCAGUGCAGUGGUGGAGCUAGCAGAGAAUGGAUAGGGGACAGGACAGGAAAUAUGAUUAAUUGGGGGGGCUAAUUACAAUUUUUUUCUUCAAUCUUAGCCCUUGGAAAAAAAAUCUUCAAUGUUUUCUCUAAUCUUGAGGGGCGCCCCCCCCCCACCCCCAAGUGCACAUAGCUCCAUAGCUCCGCCGUUGUGCCAGUGUCCCAUUUUUGGGCUAACCGAGUUUACAUGAUUUUUGAAGGAUUCUCACAAUUUAUUUUCUGAUAUGUAGCGUUUGUUUCACCGGAAUAAAGAGACGACGGUUCCCUAGGAUUGUGUCAGAUUUGAUUCCAUUAGAUUUAUGUCUCGACCACUUGUCACAGACUUGGCUAUUCUACGGAAUCCCACCUGCCUAUCUAUGCUUAUGUUAUGUACCAUUGUCGAGCCAUAUGGUGAUGGUCUAUCUAUGCUUUUGUUAUGUACCAUUGUCGAGCCAUAUGGUGAUGGUCCUGCUAGAUGCCUAUGUUGUGAUUUGUAUUCCUUUGAUUAUUGACUUUGAGACAUGAAACACCGUGUGAAUAACAUGCCCAACACGACUAGUGACGUAACUAGCGGGGGUGUGUCGAGGUGUGCCUUGCACACUCAGAAUUUUUUCCCUCCCUCGAAGUGCACAUAGAUCCGCCAUUGUGCCAGUGUCCCAUUUCCGGGCUAAUUGGGUUUAUAUGAUUUUUGAAGGAUUCUCACAAUUAUUUUUCUCAUGUGCAGCGUUUGUUUCAUGGGAAUAAAAGAUGAGGAUUCCUUAGGAUUGUGUUUGAUUUGGUUCCAUCAGGUUUAUGCCUCGACCACUUGUCACAGACUUGGCUAUUCUAUGGAAUCCCACGUGCCUAUCUAUGCUUUUUAUGUACCAUUGUCAAUCCAUAUGGUGAUGGUCCUGCUAGAUGCCUAUGUUGUCAUUUAUAUUACCCUGAUUGUUGACUUUGAGAAACNAUUACUGCUGCGAGUUUGUAAUACUACCGUGUAGACGCGGAGCACGGCAGGUUAUUUUCAAAGUUUAGUCUGCUGACCGUGGACAAAUGCAGCACUCACUCAGCCAUCAGUGAACCGUCUGUGACGUCGACAAGUACUAUGCUUUGCUGAAGUUGUACACCCAAACAAAAGCCGUCGUAAACAUGAUCUGUUAAUGGAUCACUCUACAUAUAUAGGAGUAUACGCAAUUCUUACUGCUGCUGAAUCAAUCAUAUACGCACCUUGAUCCUCAGCAUGUCGUCGUCGAGCUCUUGGCGGUGGUGACCGCCGAGGUCGAGCUGGUCGUCGCCGGCGAAGAACCUGUCGGGGCACGGGCACCGCACGCCGUACUUCCUGCAGAAGGGCACCCAGGCCCUGGCGAAGGCGUAGGCCUUCCUGGCAGCGAGCAGGGUCCGCGGCGACCCGGCGUCGUCGGAGAGGUACACGCUGAGCCGCCCGCCCGGGUAGUCGAGCGCCAUGGCGGAGACCACCGUGCUCAUCACCUUCGCCGCGGGCUCCUUGUCCGGGUCGGCCGUCACCACCAUCACGUCCACGGCCGGGAGGGCGGCGCGCGAGAGCCGGGACGGGAAGGCGGCGCGGGAGACGGGACGCCACAUGGGCGCCUGCGACAGCGCCCACAGGAAGAGGAGCGCCAGGUCGGCCGCCAGCAUCACGUGGGCGCCGCGGUGGGCGAUGGCCGCGGCGGCGAGCGCCACGUGGAGGGCGGCGAGGAGGCGGUUGACGGUGGCGAGGGGCUGGUCCGUUUGCACGGUGUUGAGCUGGAGCGGCGCGUCCUGCGACGGCGCCGCCAUUAUUCCCGUUUCGCGUUGGAUAGCAGAGCAGGAAGCUCAGAGAAGAAAAGGGGAAUCUUGUGCCGCCGGUCUCCAAGACCAGUCGGCAGUCACAGUGUCAAACCGCAGAAGGAAAUGGCGUACCCAAGUUGCUCUCCUUGACUUUAUUUAUACAGCUCCUGCGCAAGCACGUGGGAAAUAAUCUCGAUGCAUGUUUAAUUUUUGAAUUUUUUUUUUGCACCAAUGCAGAUGUAUUUUAGUAAUUGUUUAUAUAUAUCACUGCUCCGCUCUAAUUAAUAAACGAGACAAAAUACAUUAAUUAUACAGUGGAGAUGAGGUUAUCAUGAAAACUAUGUGAAAACCAUGUUUGAAAACGAGAAACAACAUGGGUAUGUUUGGUUCCCAGCCACACUUUGCCAAUCAAAAUUUAUCAGCCACAGUUUAGUUGGCAUAUGUUUGGUUUUUGCCAUACUUUGGCUUGCCACACUUUAUUGUCCUUAUGACCCAUUUGUUAUGGAGUCAAAUUUUUUGCCAACAUUUGCUAAAAUUUGGCAUUCGUUUUUUCAGCCACACUCUGUGGCUUGCCACACUUUGAUGGCUUGCCCACUUUGGCUUGGUAAAAUUAGUCUUCAACCAAACAGACCCUAUAUCUCUCCCUAAUAAUAAAGCACCUAUUAUUUCUGUCGUCCGUCAUUAAAAUUACCUCUAAACUUGAUAAAAAUUACCCACCAAUGUCAUCUGUAAUUAUAAAACCUGUUCAUUUUUUGGAUUUUAAAAAUCGCCACCCUGUGUUAUGUUUUUAAAGGACUGAUAUUUUGAAAGACCAGUAAUAGAAGAGUAGCGUGAUGGUCACAGCUGCAAGCCUAGACCUUAGAUAGCAGGGUUCGAUCCUUUGUUCUCACCACUUUUUCUCUACUUUCUAUUAUUUUUUCUUUACUUUUUUAUUCCUGUUUUGGUUUUUUCUUCUCUAAAUUAUUUCCAAAUUUCAUAAUAACAAAAUUUUUAAAAUUUGUCAGUUUGAAAAAUAUAGAGAAAUGAUAAACUGUUUGUGUAUUUACAAAAUAUUCGACAAGUCAUAAAAUGUUGAUGAGUUCAAAAAUUGCUCACAUAUAAUAAAACAAAUCACGAUUUCAAAUAAAUUGUCAUGAAAUAAAAAAUGUUUGUGAUUUUUUAAAAUGAUCCGAUAUUCAAAGCACAUUUUAUGACCUUUUUCCACUCUUAUGCAUGAGCCGGCCCAUGUGCAGAUCAAGGCAACCUGUUUAGUAUUUUUUUUCUUUACUUUCUUAUUCCUGUUUUGGUUUUUUCUUCUCUAAAUUAAUUACAAAUUUCAAAAGAACAAAAAAAAGUUAGCCAAUUUGAAAAAAGUAGGAAAAUGAUAAACUGUUUGUGUAUUUAAAAAAUAUUCGGCAAUUCAUAAAAUGUUCAUGAGUUCAAAAAUUGCUCACAAAUUAUAAAACAAAUCACGAUUUCAAAUAAAUUGUCAUGAAAUAAAAAAAGUUCAUGAUUUUUUAAAAUGAUCCGAUAUUCAAAGCAUAUUCAGGAAUUUGGAAAACAUGUAUAUCAACUUUUAGAAAAUGUUUGUAAAAAUUAAAACACAUUUGUUAAUAAUGAACAUAACUAACCGUCACUUACAUAAAGGUUUUAUUUGGAAACCUGUAGAGGUCGUUUUCUGAUUUUAUUUAGUCCCUCACGUCGGAUAAAAAAGGUUUCCGUGUUUUGCAGUUUGCUCAGCCAUAAAAUAUUUUUUUCUAACGCCUUAAAAAAUCAAGCCGCGAUGAGCAUCAUAUUUUUAGUUUGUGGAAUUACAUUUUAAAAGUGCCUUAUCUCAUCAUGACAUCACUCAGAUAUACUUUGUGAAAUAAGAUUUCAAAAAUCUUUAUGCCAUUAUUGCAUUAGAUUCAUACCUUUUUAUAUCUAUCACACCUGCAUAACCUGAUAGUUUUUCUUCCGUUACAACGCACGGACAUUUUUGCUAGUCCUUACAAAAGAAGAAACGAGGUGAUAUAUACACACAUAGAAUGGUGGCUUGACCAACCUGACUUUAAAGAGCUAGUUCGUAAAACCCGGACUAGUACAACAUGUUUGGGUAAGGCUAUCGAUAACUGGAUGAAUAAGACUAGGAUUUUAUGGAAAAAGAUUAAAGGCUGGAGUAUCAAUUUAGAGGCUGCUAUGAAAAAGAAGAAAAAAGUUCUUUUACAAGAAUUUGACAUCCUUGAUGUGUUUUCGAAAACCAAUCGUUUAAACGCUAAUGAUAAGAAUCGUAUGGAGGAGAUUAAGAAAGAAUGAGAGGAAAUCUGGAGGGAAGAAGAAACUGCCUUGUUGCAGUGAUCCAGAGAUAGGAGAAUCAAAGGUGGUGACAAGAAUAAUAAAUACUUCCACACGUUAGCUAACCAUCGUCAUAGGAAGAACCACUUAUAUGAAUUGAAUGGUGAUGAUGGUCCAGUUCACUCUGGAAAUUGCCACUUCUUUCUAUAAAAACAUAUUUGGUUAUGAGCAUAAACAUAAUAUUAGCUUGGGUCAUUCCUUUUGGAAGGAAGAAGAGAUGGUUACUCCUAAGGAAAAUGAGACUUUACAAAAAACAUUAUCUGAGGAUGAAAUUAAAAGGCCAUAUUCACAUCCUAUGCACAUGGUGCUCCAGGGCCUGAUGGACUUUCUUUUUGUUCUAUCAAUCCUUUUGGGAGGUGAUUGAAGCUGACUUUAUGGCUUUAGUGAAAGAUUUUGAAGAAGGGAAGCUCGACAUCUAUAAGUUGAACUUUGCCCUAAUUUUAAUUCCUAAAGAAGUAGAUGCCAAGGAUAUGAAGAAGUUCAGACCUAUUAGCCUUGGAAAUUGUGCAGUUAAGAUUCUGACUAAAGCAAUGACUACUAGAAUGUCCCCUAUUGGGGAUAGAAUAAUUUCUCCCAAUCAAACUGCUUUCAUCAAAGGAAGAUUUAUUCCUGAGAAUGUGGUGCUGGCUCAUGAAGUGAUUCAUGAAGUCAAACAGUCCAAAACUCAGGGGCUUGUGCUCAAAUUAGACUACGAGAAAGCUUAUGAUAGAGUUAGCUCGGAGUUUCUUUUUGAGAUGCUAGAGUCUAGGGGAUUUGGGGCCAAAUGGAUCUCCUAGAUCAAAAGUGUUCUACUAAGGUGUACGUUUAGUGUCUGUAUUAAUGAUGUGACUGGCCCCUGCUUUGUUGGUGGCAAAGGCAUUUCGGGGCUUCUACCUCAUGUAAUAAAAGGAGGGAUCACCAGCUUGCAAUAUGUUGAUGAUACUCUGCUUUUCCUAGAAAAUUCUUGUGAAAAAGCAAGAAACUUUAAAUGGAUCCUAUCUUGCUUUGAAAACCUCUCUGGGAUGAAAAUCAAUUUUCAUAAGAGUGAUCUUUUGACUAUCAACAUUGAGGAUGAGAUGACUAAAUCUUUUGCCCAAAUUUUUAGUUGUAAGGUUGGGACUUUCCCUAUUAAAUACUUGGGUGUGCCUUUGCACUAUGACAAACUGCGUAGGGAAGACCUUCAACCAAUAAUUGACAGGAUCAUCAGAUGUAUUUCUGGUUGGUUAGGUAGACAUCUUACUUAUAAAGGGGAGUUGAUACUUCUUUGUGCGUGCAUCGUCAGUAUCCCUGCUUAUCUUAUGGCGGUGAUCAAGUUCCCCAAAUGGGCUAUUGAGGCUAUUAAUUCACAAAUGGCUCAUUUUUCCUGGGGGAAUAUAGGGGAGCAACGCAAAUAUCACCUGACUAAUUGGGGACUGAUUACCAGGAAGAAAUCCUUUGGGGGUCUAGGUAUACCCAACCUGAAGGAAUUUAAUAUGGCCUUAUUGGCCUCAUGGGGGAAGACGUUUUUUAUAAUCAAAAAAAGAUUGAAAAGAUGUUAUUUCUUUCAAGUAUAACACUGAAUCUCCCAAUAUACUUUGGUAUAAAUCUGACAAUGGAUCUUCUUUUUGAAAGAGUGUAACAUGGGCUCUAAAUGCCUCCAAGAUUUUCUACAGGUGGAAAAUUGGUAAUGGUAGAAAUGUCAAGUUUUGGCAUGAUUUAUGGGUUGGAGAUUGUUCCCUGAAGGUGCAAUUCUGGAAGUUAUUCUACAUCUGCAACCAACCUGACUGCAUUGUCUCUCAGGUUUGGGAUGGUGUAGAUCUUAAGCUCUCCUUUAGGAGGUGUGUAGAUAGUAGGGGGCCUGAUAAAUGGAACCAAUUACUUGAUAUUAUUUAGGGCAUUCCAUUAUCUGCUGCCCCUGAUGUCCACAUAUGGAUGUUGGAAUCCAAUGGAGUGUACUCUGAUAAGUCCUUUUAUAGUACUAUUAACUUUGGUGGGGUGGCUCUUCCAUAGGUGACAAGCUGUGGAAAAUUCUUUGUUCACAAAAUAUCCAUGUUUUUCUUUGGCUAAGUGUUUAUAAUAAAGUCUUAACGAGAGAUAACUUAGCUAAGCGAAGGAAUGUUGAUGACCCUUCUUGCUUAUUUUGUAAUGAAUUGGAAUAUGUACAACAUCUGUUUUUUGAUCGCAUAGUGGCUAAAUGCAUCUGGAAACUUUUUGCUAAGUUCUUUCAGAUGCCAGUUAUGUCCUUCUUUAAAGAUAUUUGUGCCUUGUGGCUGAUUCAUAAGAAAGUGCCAGUCCAGAAUAUGAUUGUUGUUGCCCCCUUGUGGAGUACUUGGAGACUAAGAAAUGAAUUUUGUUUCCAUGGUCGAUCUUGGAAAGGUGUGGAUUGCGUGCUUGUGAAACAUCGAAGUUUUCUUCGGCAAUGGGCUGUACUCUGCGACGCCACACAAGAGGGAGUGCUGCGACAAUUCUUCACUAAGUUUCACAAAUACUGAGGGGAGCUUUUGCGCAUCGCUUGGAGGAGUCUACAAAACUGAGCUUGGAGGAGUCUGCAACCGUGAGUAUCAUUUACCUUCUCGCAUGUAGUUUGCUAUGACUUUUUCUGUGGUUGGAGUGUCGUAAACUUUUGGUUUCUCCUGUAAUUUUUAUGUCAUUCUAGAGGAUGAUAUGUCUGUACCUGGCUUGACUUUGCUUCAUUAAUAAAGUGGAGCAGGGGGAACCCUUUUUAUUACAAAAAAAAAAAAACGCGCACAACCGCGUUUCUAGCGGCAACAACUUAGGAGCGUGCAAACCAAUCCACUGUUGAAUGGUUACAAGGACUGUAGUAUUCCUGUCUAUUAGAGUUUAAAUUUCAGAUUUAACAUUGGUGUUUGUAUUUUUUGAAUUUAUUUUAGAUAUUUCAGCGAUGUGCGUUUAAUGGAAGAAGACGUUUUCAUCGACUACAAAGACGUCUGUGGCGACUUCAUCAAUUUCAAAAUGAUGUGCCGGUCCAGUCUUUCAAAGAUGUUUAUUGGGGUAUAUUGUGCGUGCAUAUGUUUAUAGGGUAAGUCCACUCCAGGAGCCGGUGGAGUUUUAGUUUGUAUUUGCGGAGCGUUACUUUACCGGCUCCGCAGCUCUGCGGAGCUGGUGGGAUUCUGAACGGACCAUAAGUAUAUGUAUAUGACGACUUCGAUUGUACUGAAAGCGUGCUGGUCAAUUAUUUGGUUAGACUUUUUUUUUCAUAGCAAUAAAUCCAAUUCUCUAUGUAAGCAAAAAUCAGGCGACGAGACCAUAUAGGAACGAGUGAAAUGUAAAAAGAACACCACAAUAGAGUUUUCAUUAGCGGAAAACCAACACUAUGCAAACCGUGACAAAAUUCAACGUGUUAAAAAAUGACAGUGCAAAAACAUUAACAAGAACUUGAUCUAAUUUUGACGCAAUAAACCAUCCACGUGCCGAUAGUGGCUAUGGCACGCGGCUAAUGGCCCUUAGCGCCAUGAGAAACUGUUACGCUGGAGAAAGUAGAACCAAGAAUUAAUUGCUUGUUGUCUCAAAAAACAAGAAUUAAUUGCUUUACUUUGAAAGGAGGAUAACCCGGCCUGUGCAUGUGCAUGCAUUCAUUUUAUAAAUUAUUCAUAAAAAUCAUACAAAGUAAACAUGAGCAAGUCUUGAAGCCAUUUUCUUGACAACAUGUGCCAUUACUCGUAUCUACUACUUGGUAAAGGGGUGUCGAAAGUCCGUGUCGAAUAUCAAACACACCUCACGUCAAAGCCUACCAUCUUAAACCGGAGGACCUAACCAAGUCGCAUUGCCGGUCUCGGGCACACAUUGGUCUGACGCACUCUUAGUGGUUAUCGCACGCUCACGCUGUAGAGGCAACCACAACCGUCUUCCACUAAUCUAUCUUCAGAGUAGGCACUCGUGCAUCAACCUAGCCAAGCCUAACUGUCGUUGACGCCAACACGACGCCACACAACGUCAUCAUCCUGCGCUCGCCAAUCAACACAUGUUCACCACCGAGACCGCAUUGCAUCAUGCUAUUGAGACCCGUCGUCGAUGACGCGGUAGAAAUCACGCCACUCCACCGCCUAUCUACUCGAGUCUAUAACUGCUCCAAAACGAUGCCACCCGCAAGGAGCACGGCGCUAGAUGUUGCUUUCGUCCGAUCCGGGAUACAUGUCUAGGGUUUCCCCUCGAGCAGGUCAAAAGGAGCGAUGUAACUUGGUAUGCCGAUGACUUCGACAAGGUAACACCGCUUAAAGACGUUGUCAUCGUCCGCCAUGACCGUAGUCGAGGCUCGGUCUUCGUCGCUAGUCUUGCCACUCCAAACUCUUCAAACUCAUUACCGAUCAGAUCUAAAGACAAAUCUGUUGUUGUCUCUUGGCUGGCCAUCACAAACGCGCAAGCGCGCAGCAGGAGGCGACUGCCGUCGCAACACCGUCGGACGGGCUCAGCCCGAUCUGGAUGCGCGACUGAGGGCCCUAGAUCGGCGAAGAAUCUCCCCAUCCAAGUCACUGAUCAGGGCCCCCCUGGGACACACCGGCCCCACAACGCCUACAAUGCCAGGUCCUUCAUAUCGUCGUGCGCGGUCCAACCCACAGCGAUGGCCGUCGUCGUUCGCAACUCCUUCGCAGCGCCGAGCGCCUGCACGCCUACGCGACCACAUGGGAAACUAGAUGACCCGCCACAACCUUCCUCAUGGCCAGGACGACCUUGGCCACGGAGUCCCUUCCGACGAUGGAGAGACUAGCAGGGACACGAUAGUAAUUUCACGGACAAUUUCUUCUAGUACUAGAAAGGGACUUGACAACUCGCUCUCCCGCUAGGGUUCCUGUCCCGCCCCCGUCCUCCUCACGUCGUCGUUGGCCUCCCUAGGGCCUCCCUGCCGCCGCCGGUCGGCCAACGCGGAUCCACCCUUGCGUCGCCUCCGUGGGAGGUGGCUGAGGCGACGUGCGCCCCCACCCCUUCGGCCGCCCCUUACCCCCUUUCCUCCCGUUGCCGCCGGCGGACGCCCCCGACACAUGCCCGGGUGGUGUUGGCGGCGGAGGGACCUUCUUUCCCCAUGCAUGAACCUCUCCUGCCCAGGGCAUGGAGCGGCGGCGGUGUUCCUCGGCUAGGUGGCGGCCUGGCUACCCGGCGACAGCGACCGGCUGCGCGCGUGGUGGUGGCAUCACCCCUUGGCGGCAGGACAUCGUGGUGGCGAGGGAUAGCCGGUGGCACGCCCCCGACCUAGAUCUGGGCCCUGUGGGUCCCAUCUGGGUCUUAGCGGGUCGGCCUCCGACGUGGCUUUGUCAUCGUCCGUGUGGUGAGGAGGAGGAGCAUCUCAGACGGGUGGCAGCGAUGUUGACGGCGUGCCUACUGUAGCGUGAUGACGGGAGCUUUACGGGCGUGGAGGGCCUCACCGGGCCUGUGAGCCCACGGACCUCGUAUGCGCCUGCUAUUGUGUCCGGUUGGCUACCGUCGCUGACGGUGUGGAGGUUGUGCCCUCCCGCGUGCCGAUGGUGCUGAUGCCCUAGUCCCGGCUCCUAUUCAGCACUGUGCAGGCCUCACUUUGCAGUGUCGUGGUGAGACAGCGUGGACGCUUGAAGACCGCGUUGGCGCAGGAUGGUGGUCGGUUUGGUGGCACGCUCCAUCGCAUCCGAGGUGAACGUUGGGAUCGGAGGAAACCCUUGUCGGCCUAGCCGACACCGAUGUGGUGGCGCAUGUGGGUGCUGCCAGACCUUCCUGGAGGGCGUCGGGGGCUACCCUUCUUCUCGUCGUGUCGUGUACCGAGGGAAACCUUUGGCUGCAGCGUCGUCAUCAUCACUGUCCUUCUUGGAGAUGUUGAUUGGCAUCGGCGCUUCGGAGCCUUGGAGCUUGGUGGGAGAUCUUUGGUGGGUGCAGUGGUCGUGAAGCUUCUUCGUUUCUGUCGAUCCGCUGUUGUCGGUAUUGAUACGUCCCAAACGUAUCUAUAAUUUUUGCUUGUUCCUUGAUCUUUUGGGUGACACUGUUAUAUGUUUUUCUACACUUUUAUAUCAUUUAACACAUACUUGGACUAACCUACUAACUCAGUGCACCCAAUGCCAGUUUCUGUGUGCUGAUGUCUAUUUUGCAGGGGCUUUUACCCAAUUUUCCGAAGCCCAAAAAAUUCCAAAAAUAUAUAAAAAAAUCAGCGGAACAGAAGCUUCUAGAUCACCGAAGAUGGGCUAGAGGGGGGCCAGGGGCCUCCCAGUCGGCCUGCUGGCGCGGCCAGGCCCUAGGCCGCGCUAGGAGGUCGGCUGGUUGGGUCCCACCUCCUCCAGUCCCUCCUUUGGCUUAUAUUUAGAGUCUCGAUAGGAAACCCUGAUAUAACUUCUGGAAUCGCGAAUUUCUCCAUCGUUCUGCUGCCGCAGCACUUCCGAGAUCGGGAGCGUCAGGAGACCUCUUCCCGGCACCCUGUCGGAGGGAGGAUUGACCUCCGGGAGCUUCUCCACCGCCAUGGACGCUUCCCAGACAUGCCGUGAGUAGUCCUCCUUGGACCAUGAGUCCAUGACCAAUAGCUAUGUGAUGUCUUCUCUCCAAUCUUGUGCUUCAAUCGUUAGUCCUUGUGAGCUGCCCUACAUGAUCAAGGCAUCUAUGUAAUUCUCUUGCUAUUGCUAUGCUCGGUUUGUUGGGACCCGAUGGAAUAUGAGAUUAUGUUCAGAUUGUUAUGAGUUAUGUAUUUGAUUAUCCUUUUACAUUAUAUUCCUUAGUGAUUCAUGCAUGUUCUCCAUUGCUAUUUAUUGCUUUGGCCAAGUAGUAGAUUGUAACUUCAAGAGGGAGCGUUAUGCAUGAUUGUGGGUUCAUGCCCUCGAUGUCUAGCUUGAGUGACAGAAACAUGAGACUAGGGGAUGUGCUUGUUGCCACCAGGGAAAAACAAUGGUGCUUGUGACCACGGUUGAAAGGAUUGUUUACCUUACGCAUAGUUCGUUAAUGCACUUGUCCAUUGUUUUGAUUUUACACUUUGGGUGGGGCUCGCAAGUUAAUACCGGCGAGAUGUUCUGGAUAGAUAUCUCAAGGUGGAUGAUUAGUAAGUAGAUGUUGAUGAAUAAAUGGUGUACUUGUCUUGGCGUACUGCCCAUUACUAUUGAACCUCUAAUAAUCAAGUAGUAUAAUUAGCAUUGCGGUGCGAUCAUAAUUCUGUCAAUUGCCCAACUGUGAUUUGUUUACCCAAGCAUAGUUGUUUAUCGUCUUUUGGGAGAGAGACAUCACUAGUGAACAUCACGUGACUCCGGUCCAUAUCAUCAUCAUUGUUUACACCUCCAUCAUUUACCGCUUUCAUUUAAUUUUUCGUUGCAAUCACUAUUACUUUCCCGCUUGUGAUUUGAUCCUUUGCAAACUACAAGGCUGGAGAGAUUGACAACCUCUCUGUACUCGUUGGGAGCAAAGUUAUUUGUUGUGUGUGCAGGUCCACAUCUUCUUCUGACCAUGACAGGAGACACCUACUUGUUGAGCCUAGGAGUCCUCUUGGUUUGAUAAACCUUACAGUCUCCAUGUAAGGGAAAUCUGCUGCUGACUACAUCUCCACCUUCCACUUGGGGUAACCAACGAGGGGCGAGAAGUAUAUCCAUCAACUCAUCAUCAAGCAAAAUUUCUAGCGCCGUUGCCGGGGACUCGAGUCUUCAAGAUAGGGGAGUUGCACGCUAUCUUUUAUCUUUGCUUUUUAGUCUUGUUAGUUUGCUUUUUAGUCUUGUUAGUUUGCUUUUUAGUUUUUACUUGAGAGUCUUAUACCAAAAACCAUAAAAAAAUUAGUUCCUUUGUUCUUGCUUUUUUCUGCUGCUACGGGUUCCACUGAAAACAUCAAGUUGUGUGACUUCACUAGUCACAACAACAAUGGCUUUAUGUGCACUCCUAUUGCUGCUCCCGCCACUGGAGCCACGUCCUAUGAGAUUAAACCUACUUUACUGAACCUUGUUAUGAAAGAUCAAUUCUACGGUGCUGGAGAUGCUGCUGCCUUGCACUUGAACAAUUUUGUUGAGCUCUGUGAUAUGCAAAAAUAUAAAGAAGAAGAUGGUGAUAUUGUUAAACUUAAGAUUUUUCCUUUCUCCUUGAGAGGAGGAGCUAAAGUGUGGCUUCAAUUUUGGCUAGGAAUAGCAUAGAUUCUUGGGAUAAGUGCAAAGAUGCUUUUAUUUAGGACAGUAAAACUGAACCUAAACCCAGCCUUCUCACGCCACCAUCGAUUUUGGCCGUUAGAUCAUCUGUUUGGGGUCUUUUUGGCCGUCCGAUCAUUGUUUGCACUGCACUUCUCGCUAACUGGGCCUCCUGUCCUAAGGGGCAGCUACUCAGCAGAAAAUUCGGUGGCCUCUGGUUAAUUGGGCCAAUUUCCACACGAUGAUUCAGUCUCAUCAAGCCCACAAGCUCCUCCAUGUAUCGGCCCCUUUUCGUUCCCCCUCCGGUCCUCCCUCUCUCUCCUUGACUUGCGCCGCCGCCCCAGCAUUACGUCUUGUAUUUCUCAAUCAAUCGGGAAGCCGAUACAGAGAGGAUGCGGCGAGCGACCGAUAAAGAGGACGUGGGUGGCCUGCGAUGGAAUCCAGCCGAGGUGCGACUGGAUGGGAUCCAGCGGAAGCGCCGGAUGCGGGUGAAUCGGGGGCCAGUCAAUCCAGUCUUCGUGCAAGACGCUGUAGAAAGGUGGGACGACAUUGGCGAUAUUGGCGGCUCAUCUCGUGGAAACUGCUCCACUCAGACUUCAAACACACAAUCAUACUUCAGUUUCUAAUCACGCAUUCAUGGCGGGGGCCGACGUCUCAUGUGUUGGGCACUUCAGUUUCCAUGUGGUACGUGUAUAUAGGCUUCCUCCCCUGCCCCUCUUCGCUCAUCCUCUGUGAUCCAGCAGAACAACAUCCUGAGCAUUGCCCGGUGGAGCCGUAGAAGCAUGGGGGCGAACGGCCCAGCUAGCAGCAUGUCCGCCUCGUCGUCCAAUUCGUCGAUCAUGGCUGUUGAUGGUGGCACAAUCCAGAAGCCAUGGUUGUAUGUCUGGCUUGGGAACCCCGACAGGAUGUACAAUCUAAUGGGAUUAAGCGCCAUCGACGAGGAGAGGUGGAGGCUUGAGGUACUAGCUGCUAAUGUUUCAAUCCUACUAGGCAGUGCCUUGCUAUUAAUGUCUACUACGGCAGUGGAAAAGAGGAGUUCAUUGCAGUCUAUAAGAUGGAUGUGUGAUCCGUGAAGUAAAGAUCCAUCCGGCAUCCGUGAAUGGCUGAGGCAAAAUUUUAGUGUUGAAUAGAAAAUAAGUAGAUUUGUUGGAAGUGCAUCAGUAGGAUGCAAAUGGAACUUUUGAGACUUCAUGAAGUUGAGCAAAACUGCUGAAAAUAAAUUCAGUUAUGCAACCAAAGUAGAGCCUCUUCAGCAAGAGAACCUACAUAUUUUAAGUUUUUUAUAGCCUGAUCCGGAUAACGUAAGUUAAGUUUGUAAUCUUUGUGAAUCAUUUUGCUCCAGUUUUCUUAGUAUCCUUUUUGGUUAUGCUAAACUUACAUCCUUCUUUCAACAGUUUAGUGAUUAUUUAGAAGGGACGCUGCGUAUUCCUAGAUGCACCGGAGCACUAGAUGUGGUCUGAUUUGGCCUUUGUACUUCAUUUCACUCCACAUCAGUGACUCUUAAUGAAAAUUUAGUUGAUGUAAUUUGUGAUCAAACUUGUUGCCUGCUACCUUAUUAAAUCUAAUUGCACAACUCGGUGGGUAGGCUCGGUUUACCUGAAGCUUUAUGUUCUUGCCUACAUUUUUUGCUACUUUCAUUGGUUUUGCGAAGCCAUGUAAUGUUUGUAGUAGCAUAGCCUUUCUUAUAUAGAUUUUAACAGCAGUGAGAUUUAUUUUUAAGGAUAACACUGGGAUAUUAGAUUUUUUUUGUAGAAUUCUCAAAUUGUUCUCAAUUAUGCCACCCUGCCUACUUGGAUUUCGCCUCGCUUGUUCUGAGGGAGCUGUGCUAGCCACCAUCGACUGUUGAAGUUAAUCAUGAUGCAAUUCAUAAAUCGUAGUUGCUAGAAAUCUUAAUUGAUCCAUUUUAACUAUGUCCAGCAAAAUAGAUGUUACAUGCUUGGAAAAGGCUACUUAGGCUUGAUGAUAAGCUUUUCUCAGGGGCAACAGUAUUAUUAUUUUUGGUUGUUUGACACUACAAACUCUUGGCAUUCGGUUAACUAUGUACCGUUCUAUACUCAUCCGUACUUAUAGCUAAGAAUACUAGAGGUAUUGAAUAGUGUGAUUAGUUAAUCUAUAGUCUGGCUUCAGUAUCUCACUAUGAUAACAUGUUGUUAUCUAAAUUAAUCGAUUGUAAAACUGGGGCUACGAAACCAAUUUGAAUGAUGGGACCCAUUUGUUUUGUCCUGUGUUCGCUCAGCAAGGAAGAGCAAUAAGAGGUACUUUGUAGUAUAAUGCAUUGUACUGAUAACAUUUUGUUGCCUUAAAACAUACUCAAACGAUCUGCUAUUUGAAGUUUAUUCAUUUAGCCCGCUUGUGUGGUCUCAUAUUUUUGCCGUUGUGGACUCUGGCUCACAUACUAUCCAAUUCUGGUCAUUUCAUUUUAAUCCAUGGAUGUUCAUGUCCAAUUCUGGAGUACUACGCACGUGAGCCGAAUGGACGCUGGGCAGUUAGCUGCGGUUCCUAGAAGAUAUUAAUGGUCUGGGAGUGCGCCAAGCCGUUCCAAUCAGUCUCUCUCCCUCCCGGUAAAGAAAUGUGUUGGACAGAGAGAACAUCGCUCUGAGAGAAAGAACCAAUGGCACCGUUCCUGUGAAGGAGAUGUGAAGGUGUGCAGCGAGGAGAUGCGGACCUCCCAGUUUAUGUUACUUACGCUAAUACAUUUGCACUAAUUACCUACCAUUCUAUUGUAAAAAGGGACGGACGCGGCAACGCGCGUCUUGAAUGAUCUAGUUGGGAAGUAUGACCCGCCUGUUAAGAUUAUCCAGUUGAGGAAUAACAUUAUGAAUUUUAGGCAAUUGGAUAAUGAACAUGUUGCUCAAGCUUGGGAAUGUAUGAAAUCUCUUGUUAAGAAUUGCCCUACACAUGGUUUGACUACUUGGAUGGUUAUCCAAACUUUCUAUGCACGAUUGAACUUUACCUCGCGGAAUCUGUUAGACUCGGCCGCGGGAGGGACCUUUAUGUCAACUACACUUGGUGCUACCACAAAGCUAUUGGAUGAGAUGAUGACAAAUUAUUCUCAAUGGCACACCGAGAGAGCACCAACAGGUAGGAAGUAAACUCUGUUGAGGAGAUCUCCUCCCUUAAUGAUAAGGUUGACAUGAUCAUGACUCUACUUACUAAGCAAGAUCCUAUUGAUCCUCAUGAUGUUCCUUUAAAUUCUUUGGUUGCUCAAGAAAGAGAGCAACUUGAUGUUAAUUUUAUCUCUAGGAAAAACUUUAAUAACAAUGCUUAUAGGAGUAAUUUUGGUAGCAAUCCUAUACCGUUCCCAUCCAACAACUAUGGGAACAAUAACAAUUAUCCUAGAACCAAAAACUCCACUUCUGAAUUAGAGAGCAUGCUUAAGGAUUUUAUCACUUCUCAAAAAGCCUUCAGCAAGAGUGUAGAAGAGAAACUAGAAAAAUUAGAUAGUCUCUGUUUGAAGGUGGACAACAUAGCCGAUGAUGUAGAGAUGAUUAAAAUUAGAACUUCCCCACUUGAGGAAAGGAACACCACAUCCAUGAAUGCUACCCAAGUCCAAAUUAUUGAGAACAGAAGAAUGCUAGCCAAACUUAAAGAGAGAUGGGCUAGAGAAAAAGAAGAGGAAGAGAUAAUUAAGAGCCUCCCUACACACACUACCAUUUCUACUAUACAAGUUAUUGAGGAUCUCAAAACUUUUAGAACCCAUCGUACUCCUAGUCCCAAUGGACCUAUUAAUGGUGAUGCUAAUCCUCUACUAUAGGACAAGAAGGUCCUUUGAAUUUAGAGACUACCAAAAGAAUGAGUUUAGAUGACAUUACUACCACUUUAAUUAAUGGUAGUAAUCUUGAUUUUGACAAUUGUAGUCUCUCCGAAGUUAUCACUUUUUUUUGCAAAGAAUGGCUAAAGACCCCCACACUAGUACACUCAAUAUUGCCUUCACCGAGCAUAUUACCAAUGCUCUUAUCAAAGCUAGGGAGGAGAAGCUCAAGCUAGAGACUUCUAUUCCUAGAAAACUAGAAGAUGGUUGGGAUCCUAUGGUCAAAAUAAAAUUGAAUAAUAUCUCUUGCUUUGCUUUGUGUGAUGUUGGAGCUAGUGCCUCCGUUAUGCCCAAAAGAAUGCAUGAUAUGCUUGAUUGGAAACCUUACGAUCCAUGUUCUUUUGGUGUUCGUCUCAUUGAUUCUUCCAUAAAGAAACGUUUAGGGGGAAUUGAUGAUGUUCUUAUUAUUGUCAAUGAUAAUUAUGUGCCCGUUGAUUUUCUUAUUAUGAACAUUGAAUGUGAUCCUUCGUGUCCAAUUAUUUUGGGACAUCCUUUUCUCCGCACCGUUGGUGCUAUCAUUGACAUGAAAGAGGGAAUUAUUAAAUUCCAAUUUCCUCUUAAAAGGGGAAUGAAAUACUUCCCUAGAAAUAAUAUUAAGUUACCUUAUGAGCCCGUUACUCGGGCAAGUUAUUCUUUUGGAGUUGAUAACACUUGAUCUUCUUCCAUUAUGCCUAGCUCAAAGGCAUAAAAGAAAGCGUUUGUUGGGAGGCAACACAAUUUGUUUUUACUUUCUAUUUUAGUGAUCUUGAUGCUUUUUACUAAUGUAGCAACAUCAUUGUAUCUUUAUUUUUAAGCUUUGUGCCAAGUUAUAGCCUCCGAUUGCAAUAAAGUUUAAAAAUUGUGACAUGUUGUCCAGAAACAGAUUUUGUCUGCCUGACGGAAAAAUUCGCCAAGCAUCACCAGUUCAUAUUUUUGAUCUGAUUUUUUUACAGAAUGCUAUAUAUAAUUGACUUUCUAGCAUCUGUUCUGAGUUUUUUUAUUUGAGUUGCUGAAGUACCCCGAAUAAAUUAUUUACUACCUGAUGUUCUGUUUUUCACAGAUUCUCCCUUGUUUUGCGUUUUCAUUGUUUUGCAAAUCCUAAGUUUACUUUUUAUUUGCAAAAACCUUUUGUUAUUCAUAAGAAGCAGUAGAUUUUUAUGAAAAUCUUUAUUUACAGCAGGUAAUGAAUUAUUUUAUUAAGGUUACUAACCACUCUAAUCAGCUUAUGAUGAGUUUCGUAUGAAGGGAGUUUUCAAGUAUGCGAUGGGAGAUGAUGAAAGAAGAUACUGUUGGAAAUAUGCCCUAGAGGCAAUAAUAAAUUGGUUAAUAUUAUAUUUUCUUGUUCAUGAUAAUCGUUUAUUAUCCAUGCUAUAAGUGUAUUGAUUGGAAACUCAAAUACAUGUGUGGAUACAUAGACAAAACACUGUCCCUAGGAAGCCUCUAGUUGAUUAGCUCGUUGGUCAAAGAUGGUUAAGGUUUCCUAGCCAUAGACAAGUGUUGUCACUUGAUAACGGGCUCACAUCAUUAGGAGAAUGAUUUGAUGGACAAGACCCAAACUAUAAACGUAGCAUAUGAUCGUGUCAGUUUAUUGCUACUGUUUUUUGCAUGUCAAUGUAUCUGUUGCUAUGACCAUGAGAUCAUGCAACUCCCAGACACCGGAGGAAUACCUUGUGUGUAUCAAACGUUGCUACGUAACUGGGUGACUAUAAUGGUGCUCUACAAGUAUCUCCGAAGGUGCCUGUUGGGUUGGCAUGGAUCAAGACUGGGAUUUGUCACUCCGUGUGACGGAGAGGUAUCUCGGGGCCCACUCGAUAAUACAACAUCACAGUAAGGCUUGCAAGCAAUGUGACUAAGGAGUUAGUUACGGGAUCUUGUAUUACAGAACGAGUAAAGAGACUUGCCGGUAACGAGAUUGAACUAGGUAUGGAGAUACCGACGAUCGAAUCUCUUGCAAGUAACAUACCGAAGGACAAAGGGAACAACAUACGAGAUUAACUUGAACGUUGACAUAGAGGUUCAACUGAUAGAGAUCUUCGUAGAAUAUGUAGGAGACAAUAUGGACAUCCAGCUCCCGCUAUUGAUUAUUGACCGGAGAGUGUCUCAGGUCAUGUCUGCAUAGUUCUCCCAUAGGGUCUGCACACUUAAGGUUCAGUGACAUUUCGGUAUUGUUGAGUUAUAGGUGUUGGUGAACGAAGGUUGUUUGGAGUCCCGGAUGAGAUACCGGACGCUACGAGGAGCUCCGGAAUGGUCUGGGGGUAAAGUUUGAUAUAUAUAGGAAGUCCUGUUUUGGUCACCGGAAAAGUUUCGGGCUCAUUGAUAGUGUACCGGGAGUGCCGGGAGGGGUGCCGGGGACCAUCGGGAGGGGUGUCACUCCCCAAGAGGCCUCAUGGGCUAUGGGAAGAGAUAAACCAGCCCCUAGUAGGCUGGAAUAAGUUCCCACUAAGGCCCAUAAGGUUUGAGAAGGAAAAAACAAGAUGGAAGGAGUUUCCAAGUGGGAAGGAGGAAUCCUACUCCAAAUAGGAUUGGAGGAGGACUUCUCCUCUCCUCCUUGCGCAAGGGAAAAAAAGCACAACUAGGGCGCAACCCUCUCCCUCCUCUCCUCCUAUAUAUACUAACGGUUUUAGAGACAACAGAAAACAGCCACGUGCUUCCCUCUCUCUCUAGAUCUGUUUCUCCUCUAGUUUCAGCGGUGCUUAGGCGAACCCUGCUAGAAUAGCACCACCACCACCAACACCAUGCCGCCGUGCUGGAGAACUCAUCUACCUCUCUGCCCCCUCUUGCUAGAUCAAGAAGGUGGAGAUCGUCAUUGAGCUGUACGUGUGCGGAACGCGGAGGUGCCGUCCGUUCGGCACUUGAUCGGGACAGAUUGUGAGACGGUUUGUGGGACGGAUCAUGGGACGGUUCGUGGGACGGAUCGUGAAGACGUACCACUACAUAAACCACGUUUAUUAACGCUUCCUCUUAGCAAUCUACAAGAGUAUGUGGAUCCGAUCUCCCUUUCGUAGAUGAUCAUCACCAUGAUAGGUCUUCGUGUGCGUAGGAAAUUUUUUGUUUCCCAUGCAACGUUCCCCAAUAGAUACAGGAGCAUCAAGUGCUCAAGAUUGGGGAUGCCCCCGUGCACCCCAAGAAACAUUCAAAGGAGACUCAAGCGUCUAAGCUUGGGGAUGCCCCCGUGCAUCCCCUUCUCUAUCAACAAUCAUCAGUUCGUCCAUCUCCAUGCUAUAUUUUUAUCACUUAAUAUGAUAUGUGCUAUGCUUGGAGCGUCUCACUAUUUACUUUUUAGUUUGUUUUAGUUCUGCUUUCUAUUCAUAACAAGUUGGAACUUACCCUACCUUGUUUGGGAGAGAGAUACUCUCCAUUCCACUCUAGAACACAACAUAGGUUUUCAUGCUUAUCUUUUUCGUGUGUUCUUCAUCUUUUCGUAGCUACUAUCAUGCUUAGCUCUUAGUUUUCAUGCUUACGUUUUUAAGAGCUACUCCCUCCGUUCCUAAAUAUAAGUCUUUUUAGAGGUUUCACUAAUAGACUACAUACGGAUGUAUAUAGACAUAUUUUAGAGUGUAGAUUCAAUCAUUUUGCUCCGUAUGUAAACACCUAGUAAAAUCGCUUAAAAGACUUAUAUUUUGGAACGGAGGGAGUAUUAUUUAGGUUGCUUCUGGAACUUUCUUAAGUAUCAUGCUUAUCUUGUUUAGAGAGUUGGCUCGUUGCACUGAUUUGUGUGUCUUGCAUGAGUGGGUAAUUGAGGUUGCUAUUUAAGUAUAGUAGUAACUUGAAAUAGUUCUGAGGUAUUGAUUUGGGUAAUGUUUGGACUAUUGGUGCCAAGAGCUUGAGCCUAUUGGUGAUAGGUGUCAUAUUUUUGGAAAUCAGUGUGUUUUUCAAAAACUAAAAAUUAGUUGAGAACUCUAGCUACUAAAUUGAUCGCUAACCUCUGGAGGGGUUGGAAUAUAUAGAGUACCCUCACGUUACCAUGAGUCGAGGAUGCGCAAGGAUAACCAAACCCCCAAACUCUCCUCCUCGGGGUACUUGUCUCUUUGUGAAUUUCCUAACUAGAUAGAGAGUUACCGAUAAUAAGUGUAUGAGUUCUUCAGACUAAUGUGAGUAUUCGAUUGUUGGCACUUCCACCAUCCAUAUUUUGCUAGCCUCUUCGGUACCGUGCAUUGCCCUUUAUCACAUUGUGAGUUGGUGCAAACUCCGCUGGUGCAUCCAAACCAUGACAUGAUACGCUCUGUCAUACAUAAGCCUCAUUAUAUCUUUCCUCAAAACAGCCACCAUACCUACCUAUUAAGGCAUUUCCAUAGCCUUUCCGAGAUACAUUGCCAUGCAACAUCCACCAUCUCAUGACUUGAUCUUCAUGUCAUACAUGCUUUUGCUUGAUCGAGGAGCCGCAUGCUAGUUGGGCCUUGCCCUUAUUACUACUACAUGACGCGCUAGUAUCAUUGCAUAUCCUGCUACACUAGUAGAGGCAUACAUUUGCAUACAUCAUGACAGUUUUCACUUGUCUUUAUGUUGAGUACUUCUUAUAAAGUGUGAUGAUUUUUAUUUUUAUUCAUGUAAAACAUAGAGUGUUGCCCUUAAGUGAGGAAAAUAUGCCAAAGUGGACAAACAAAAGAUCCCAAAGAGGACAAAUGAGAGAUAAAAAGAAAGAGCCAAAGAGGCCACAAAAAAUAAAAAAGAAGAAAAAGAAAAAAAAGAAAAAAAGAAGAGAAGGGGGCAACACUACUAUCCCUUUUGAAAGAUCCACACUCGUACUCCAUUACUAUAUUGGUACUACAUAGAAAUUAUCAUUCAUGUAUAACUAUGUGGGGAUCCUUACACUAUAGAACUUCGUUUGCAUAUUCCUAUGAUGGGUCUGCUCAAAUGAGCUCUAGGUCUUCAUGAGCAAACAAAUUGGAUGCACCCCCACUAGUUCCAUUGGAGAGCUGAUGACCCACAAGUAUAGGGGAUCUAUCGUAUUCCUUUCGAUAAGUAAGAGUGUUGAACCCAACGAGGAGCAGAAGGAUCUGACAAGUGGUUUUCAGCAAGGUAAAAUCUGCAAUCACUGAAAUUAACGGUAACAAGUGGUUGUGUGGUGAGAUGAUUCGUAGCAAGCAACAAGUAAAAAAACUAGCAACGGUGCAGCAAAGUGGCCCAAUCCCUUUUGUAGCAAGGGACAAGCCUAGACAAACUCUUAUAGGAGGAAAAACGCUCCCGAGGACACACGGGAAUUUCUGUCACGCUAGUUUUCAUCAUGUUCAUAUGAUUCACGUUCGUUACUUUGAUAGUUUGAUAUGUCGGUGGACCGGCGCUUGGGUACUGCCCUUACUUGGACAAGCAUCCCACUUAUGAUUAACCCCUCUCGCAAGCAUCCGCAACUACGAAAGAAGAAUUAAGACAAAGUCUAACCAUAGCAUUAAACUAGUGGAUCCAAAUCAGCCCCUUACGAAGCAACGCAUAAACUAGGGUUUAAGCUUAUGUCACUCUAGCAACCCAUCAUCUACUUAUUAUUUCCCAAUGCCUUCCUCUAGGCCCAAAUAAUGGUGAAGUGUUAUGUAGUCGAUGUUCACAUAACACCAUUAGAGGAAAAACAACAUACAACACAUCAAAAUAUAGAACGAAUACCAAAUUCACAUGACUACUUAUAACAUGACUUAUCCCAUGUCCUCAGGAACAAAAGUGACUACUCACAAAGCAUAAUCAUAUUCAUGACCAGAGAGGUAAUGAGUAUCAUCAAGGAUCUGAACAUAAACUCUUCCAUCAAGUAAUCCAACUAGCAUCAACUACAAAGAGUAAUUAACACUACUAGCAACCUUACAAGUACCAAUCAGAGUCGCGAGACGGAGAUUGGUUACAAGUGAUGAACUAGGGUUUGGAGAUGAGAUGAUGCUGAUGAAGGCGAGUCCCGUCCGAUGAGAGGAGUGUUGGUGAUGACGAUGGCGACGAUUUCCCCUUCCGUGAGGGAAGUUUCCUCGGCAGGAUCGUCCUGCCGGAGCUCUAGAUUGGUUCUGCUCAAGUUCCGCCUCGUGGCGGCGGCGAAUCCUCCGAAAAGCCUCCUCUUGAUUUUUUUGGAACGAAACCCUUGAUAUAGCAGAAGAGGGGAGCCAGUGGGCCAACAGGGAGCCCACAAGCCCCCUAGGCGCGGCCAGGGGGGUAGGCCCCGCCUACCAGGCUUGUGGCCCCCUGGUUGCGCUCCUCUGACACUUCUUCCGCCCAGUAUUUUUUAUAAAUCCCAAAAAAAUCCACGUUGAUUUUCGCGGCUUUUGGAGUUGCGCAGAAUAGGCAUCUCAAACUUGCUCCUUUUUCAGGCCAGAAUUCCAGCGGACGACAUUCUCCCUCUUCAUGUAAACCGUGCAAAAUAAGAGAGAAAAGGCAUAAGUAUUGUACCAUGAAGUGAUAUAACAGCCCAAAAAGCGAUAAAUAUCAACAUGAAAGCAUGAUGCAAAAUGGACGUAUCAAAUCCCCCAAGCUUAGACCUCGCUUGUCCUCAAGGGAAAGCCUAGAUUAAUAAACAUGACCACAUGUUUAGAGAGAGAGGUGUCGACGAAACAAGAUACGCACAUGCAGGCGUCAUGAUCAUGAUCAGAACAACAAUACCGACAUAUAAUCUCUCAUGAUAAAGUGACAAUUCCUUCACAAAGUAAAGCAUGGAUCAAGAACCUUACCGAGAAUUAGCAACCGAUAGCCUUUAGUCAUUGAAGCAAUUGCAAUUUAUUACAACAUCAGAAAGAGUCAAAUAAGAGCUUGUAAAGCAAAUCCACAUACUCAAUCAUCUUUUCGUUCUCUACGAUUGCUACAACUCACGUGGUACUCAAGAGAUCAAAGUUUCAACUGGACACAGAGAAAGAUAGGGGCUUAUAGUUUCCCCUCCCAACCAUUUACCUCAAGGGUAAUGUCAACAAUAAUAAUUCAUGAAUACUUACCUCCUAGUUGAUAUAUGAAUAUAGAUCUUUCCCUAGCAUAUGACGUUAGCCAAGAUAAAGGCGAAAUAAGGAAUUGCUGUAGAUCACCAUGACUCUUUCAAGGGAAAAAAGUAAAGGUACAAGAUAGGCCCUUCGCAGAGGGAAGCAGAGGUUGUCAUGCGCUUUUGAGGUUGGGAUGCGUGUCCUCUUAGUGCGGAGGAACAUCACUUUAUAUUGCCUCAUGUGAUAAAGAACUUUAUUAUGCAGUCUGUCGCUUUUAUGUCUUCCUCAUCACAGGUUCGUACAAAGCUUAUUUUCCACACACUAAUAGAUCAUACAUAUUAGGGAGCAAUAUUUAUUGCUUGCACCGAUGCCAACUUACUUGAGGGAUCUUAUUCAAUCCAUAGGUAGGUAUGGUGGACUCUCAUGGCAAAACUGAGUUGAAGGUUUAUGGAUGGACAAGUAGUAUCUCUACUUGGUGCGGGACUUUUGGCUAAUAUGAGGUGGAGGCAAUCGUCACAUGCUAAGGGAUCUUUAAUCAUAUAACAUUGUUCGGAACCAAGCGAACAUAAUUCAUUAUGUUGUCUUCCUUGUCCAACAUCUACUUCUAAGCAUGUAAUAGCUUAGUGAGUGUUCACAAUCAUAUAUGGUGUCAAAGAUGAUAUAUUUAUAUAUGAACUUCUCCUUCUUUAUCACUUCCUAUUAAUUGCAACAAUGACCAAGGUCUACGUUUGUCUACCCUCAACAAGUUUCAAUCAACAUUCUUUUUAUAUGUGAAGCCAUCACUUCCCAUAAGAUCAUUACAUGAUCUUUCAUUCUUUUGUUCUUUUCUCAAUCUUUUGAUCAUGGCAAGAGGCAAGGCCCUUCAACUAAGACACUCUUUAUUAUAUGGCUCGUGAGCUCAAAUACAUAGGGGGUGACACAAAGCAAAACUCAAGCCUAAAACACUAAGACCUUUAUUCUACUAGAGAAAGAGAAAACUGAAAAAGAACAAACUAAAGCAAAGGUAAAGGCAAAAUAUGUGAUGGUGAUACGAUACCGGGGCAACUCCCGCAAGCUUGGCACAAGCCAAGGGGAUUGCCCAUACCCAUGCUUAGUUGUCUUCCUUUGGAGAUGAUGGUGGUGGAGUUGUUGCAAUCUUUGAUUCCAAGAGGGCCAUUAAUCUUUGAUUUAUACGUUGGAGAUCUGUGAUAUGUUUCUCCAGCAAAACAACUUCACGAGUGAGAUGAGUAUUACGAGCACGAUUUGUUUCACAAAACCUCAAGAGUUCAAUCAAGGAUGGAGACAGUAGGUGGAGGUAGGGUUGGAGGAAAUCUACUUCUUCAACUUCUUCCUUGUUGAGCACAGAUUGCACUUCGUCCCAUGCCUGAUUCUUCUCCUUAGUUUUGCCCUUGGUUUCUUUAGGUAGCCUUUCCCUGGCCUCGAUGACCUUCAUUCUUUUCAGGUCAGCAUUUACUUCUCCAUAGACUUGAGAGAGAUGGUUCUCCCCCAUAGAUUCCUGAGAUGACAUCUUGACCUAAAUCUGCGGCAGAAAAUAGGCUUGAAAUGAAAACAGAGGAAAAUCGCGUGAUACAAGGGUCAGACCUUACGGGAGAAUAUAUAAUGAUUUUUUUUCGACCAGAAGGAGUACUCUACACGAAAACGUAGUCCGGGAGGCACACGAGGUGGCCACAAGCCCCCCAGGCGUGGCCAGGGGGUGGCCCCGCGCCUGGCAGGCUUGUCGCCUCCUCGCGCGCUUUCCUGACUACUUCCAAUUUUUCUAUUUUUUCAAAAAUUCCAAAACGGAGAAAAAUUCCUACUGGAAAAGUUUUGGAUUCUGUUUUCUUACCGAAUCACAAACCUCUUCGUUUUCAGAGUCUGAAACAGGCUGAUAAAUAUCCCUUAGGUAUUCUUCCGGAGUUAUGGUAUUGAUAAUAUUGCUUUCAACAUUUAUGGGAGUACCUAAGAUAUAAUGCUUGAUUCUCUGCCCAUUUACAACUCUCGGACCAUUACCUUCCAUUUUGUUCAUCUUGAUAGCACCGGAACGAUAUACUUCCUCAACAAUAUAGGGACCUUCCCAUUUAGAGAGAAGCUUACCUGUAAAAAAUCUUAAACGAGAAUUAUAUAGCAAGACAUAAUCACCUACAUUGAACUCACUAAUGACCCACAAGUAUAGGGCAUCAUUCGUAGUCCUUUUGAUAAGUAAGAGUGUCGAACCCAACGAGGAGCAGAAGGAUCUGACAAGUGGUUUUCAACAAGGAAAUGUGUGCAAGCACUGAAGUUGUCGGUAACAAGUGAUUGUGUGGUGAGAUGAUUUGUAGCAAGCAACAAGUAACAAAAGUAGCAACGGUGCAGCAAGUGGCCCAAUCCCUUUUGUAGCAAGGGACAAGCGUGGACACAGUCUUAUAGGAGGAAAAACGCUCUCGAGGACACAGGGGAAUUUCUGUCAUGCUAGUUUCAUCAUGUUCAUAUGAUUCGCGUUAGUUACUUUGAUAGUUUGAUAUGUGGGUGGACCAGCGCUUGGGUACUUCCCUUACUUGGACAAGCAUUCCACUUAUGAUUAACCCUCUCUCAAGCAUCCGCAACUACGAAAGAAGAAUUAAGACAAAGUCUAACCAUAGCAUUAAACUAGUGGAUCCAAAUCAGCGCCUUACGAAGCAACGCAUAAACUAGGGUUUACGCUUCUGUCACUCUAGCAACCCAUCAUCUACUUACUACUUCCCAAUGCCUUCCUCUAGGUCCAAAUAAUGGUGAAGUGUUAUGUAGUCGACGUUCACAUAACACUACUAGAGGAAAAACAACAUACAACACAUCAAAAUAUCGAACGAAUACCAAAUUCACAUGACUACUAUUAGCAUGACUUAUCCCAUGUCCUCAGGAACAAAAGUAACUACUCAUAAAUCAUAAUCAUAUUCAUGAUCAGAGAGGUAUUGAGUAGCAUCAAGGAUCUGAACAUAAACUCUUCCACCAAGUAAUCCAACUAGCAUCAACUACAAAGAGUAAUCAACACUACUAACAACCUUACAAGUACCAAUCGGAGUCGCGAGACGGAGAUUGGUUACAAGUGAUGAAGUAGGGUUUGGAGAUGAGAUGGUGCUGAUGAAGAUGUUGAUGGUGACGAGUCCCCUCCGAUGAGAGGAGUGUUGGUGAUGACGAUGGCGAUGAUUUCCCCCUCUGAGAGGGAAGUUUCCCCGACAGGAUCGUCCUGCCGGAGCUCUAGAAUUGUUCUCCUCAAGUUCCGCCUCGUGGCGGCGGCGAAUCCACGAAAAAGCUCCGCUCUGAUUUUUUCCUGGACGAAACCCUUCAUAUAGGAAAAGAGGGGGGGGGCAAGUGGGCCAGCAAGGUGCCCACAAGCACCCAUGGCGCAGCCUGGGGGUGGACGCGUCGUGCAGUCUUGUGGGCACCCUCUAGUGCCCCUCUGGAACUUCUUCGGCCCAGUAUUUUUGAUAAAUCGGGAAAAAAAUUCCUCGUUGAUUUUUACGGCGUUUGGAGUUGCGCAGAAUAGGUAUCUCAACUUUGCUCCACUUUUAGGCCAGAAUUCCAGUUGCCGGUAUUCUCCCUCUUCAUGUAAACCUUGCAAAAUAAGAGAGAUAAGGCAUAAGAAUUGUACCAUGAAGUGAAAUAACAGCCAAAGAAACGAUAAAUAUCAACAUGAAAACAUGAUGCAAAAUGGACGUAUCAACUCCCCCAAGCUUAGACCUCGCUUGUCCUCGAGCGAAAGCCGAGCUCAAUAAAUAUGUCUACAUGUUUAGGGAGAGAGGUAUCGACAAAACAAGAUACGAACAUGCAUGCAUCAUGAUCAAGAUCUAAAACAACAAUACCAACAUAUAAUCUCUCAUGCUAAAGUGAUAAUUCCUUCACAAAGUAAAGCAUGGAUCAAGAACCUUACUGAGAAGUAACAACCGAUAGCCUUUAGUCAUUGAAGCAAUUGCAAUUUAUCACAACAUUAGAAAGAGUCAAAUAAGAGCUUGUAAAAAUAUCCACACACUCAAUCAUUCUUUCGUUCUCUACAAUUGCUACAACUCACGUGGUACUCAUGAGAUCAAAGUUUCAGCUGGACACAAAGAAAGAUAUGGGCUUAUAGUUUUGCCUCCCAAAUGUUUACCUCAAGGGUAAUGUCAACAAUAAUAAUUCAUGAAUGCCUACCUCCAAAUUGACAUAUGAAUAUAGAUCUUUCCCAAGCAUAUGACGAUAGCCAAGAUAAAGGUGAAAUAGGGAAUUGGGGAAGAUCACCAUGACUCUUUCAAGGGCAAAAAGUAAAGGUACAAGAUAGGCCCUUCGCAGAGGGAAGCAGAGGUUGUCAUGCGCUUUUGAGUUUUGGAUGCGUGUCCUCUUAGUGCGGAGGAACGUCACUUUAUAUUGCCUCCUGUGAUAAAGAUCUUUAUUAUGCAGUCUGUCGCUUUUAUGUCUUCCUCAUCAUAGGUUCGUACAAAGCUCAUUUUCCACACACUAAUAGAUCAUACAUAUUAGAGAGCAAUUUUUAUUGCUUGCACCGAUUGCAACUUAUUUGAGGGGUCUUAUUCAAUCCAUAGGUAGGUAUGGUGGACACUCAUGGCAAAACUGGGUUGAAGGUUUAUGGAUGCACAAGUAGUAUCUCUACUUGUUGCGGGAGGUUUUGGCUAAUAUGAGGUGGAAGCAAUCGUCACAUACUAAGGGAUCUCUAAUCAUAUAACAUUGUUCAGAGCCAAGCAAACACAAUUCAUUACGUUGUCUUCCUUGUCCAAUAUCUACUUCUAGGCAUGUAAUAGUUUAUGAGUGUUCACAAUCAUAGAUGGUGUCAGAGAUGAUAUAUUUAUAUGUGAACCUCUCCUUCUUUAUCACUUCCUAUUAAUUGCAACCAUGACCAAGAUAUACGUUUGCCUACCCUCAACAAGUUUCAAUCAUCAUCCUUUUUAUAUGUGAAGCCAUCAAUUCCCAUAAGAUCAUUACAUGAUCUUUCAUGCCUUUGUUCUAUUCUCACUCUUUUGAUCAUGGCAAGAGGCAAAGCCCUUCAACUAAGACACUCUUUAUUAUAUGGCUCACGAGCAAGAAUACAACGGGGGUGACACAAAGCAAAACUGAAGACUAAAACGCUAAGACUUUUAAACUACUAGAGAAAAAUAAAACUGAAAAGGAACGAACUAAAACAAAGGUAAAGGCAAAAGAUGUGAUGGUGAUACGAUACUGGGGCAACUCCCCCAAGCUUGGCACAAGCCAAGGGGAUUGCCCAUACCAAUGCUCAGUUGUCUUCCUUUGGUGGUGAAGGACGAGUUGUUGUUGCAAUCUUUGACUCCAAGAGGGCCAUUAAUCUUUGAUUUAUACCUUGGAGAUCUACGAUAUGUUUUUCUAGCAAAACAAAUUCACGAGUGAGACAAGUAUUGCGAGCACGAGUUGUUUCACAAAACUUCAAGAGUUCAAUCAAAGAUGGAGACAGUUGGUGGAGGUAGGGUUGGAGGAAAUCCACUUCUUCAACUUCUUCCUUGUUGAGCACAGAUUGCACUUGGUCCCAUGCCUGAUCCUUCUCCUUAGCUUUGCGCUUGAUUUCUUUAGGUAGACUCUCCUUAGCCUCCAUGACCUCCAUCCUUUUCAGAUCAGCAUGAACUUCUCCAUAGAUUUGACGGAGGUUGUUCUCCCCCACAGAUUCCUGGGACGACAUCUUGACCUAGAUCUGCGGUAGAAAACAUGAUCGAAACGAAAAGCAGAGGAAAUCUGCAUGAUGCAGGGGUCAGACCAAACGGGAGUACAUAUAAUGAUUUUUUUCAGACGAGAAGGAGUACCCUGCAUGAAAACGGAGUCCGGGAGGCGCACGAGGUGGCCACAAGCCCUCACGGCGCGGCUAGGGGGUGGGCCCGCGCCUGGCAGGCUUGUCGCCUCCUCGCGCACUUUCCGGACUACUUCCAAAUUUUUUAUUUUUUCAAAUUUUCCAAAACGGAGAAAAUUUCCUACUGGAAAAGUUUUGGACUCUGUUUUCUUACCGAAUCACAUACCUCUUCAUUUUCGGAGUCUGAAACAGGCUCAUAAAUGUCCCUUAGGUAUUCUUCUGGAGUUAUGGUAUUGACAAUAUUGCUUUCAACAUUUAUGGGAGUUCCUGAGAUAUAAUGCUUGAUUCUCUGCUCAUUUACAACUCUCAGACAAUUACCUUCCGUGUUGUUGAUCUUGAUAGCACCGGAACGAUAUACUUCCUCAACAACAUAGGGACCUUCCCAUUUAGAGAGAAGCUUUCCUGCAAAGACUCUUAAACGAGAGUUAUAUAGCAAGACAUAAUCACCUACAUAGAACUCACGCUUUUGUAUCCUCUUGUCGUGCCACCUCUCAACCUUCGCUUUGAACAGGUUGGCAUUCUCAUAUGCCUGAGUUCUCCACUCAUCAAACGAGCUAAUAUCAAAUAACCUCUUCUCACCGGGAAGUUUGAAAUCAAAGUUGAGCUCUUUGAUUGCCCAAUAAGCUUUAUGCUCUAGCUCAAGAGGUAAGUGACAUGCUUUCCCAUACACCAUUUUGUAUGGAGACAUGCCCAUGUGAUUCUUAUAGGCAGUUCUAUAAGCCCACAGUGCAUCAUCGAGCUUCUUAGACUAAUUCUUUCUAGACCUGUUGACAGUCUUUUGCAGAAUUAGUUUAAUCUCCCUAUUACUUAGCUCUACUUGACCACUCGACUGAGGGUGAUAGGGAGACGCAAUUCUAUGAUUGACAUCGUACUUAGCAAGCGUUUUACGGAAAGCACCAUGAAUGAAGUGUGAACCACCGUCGGUCAUUAGAUAUCUAGGGACUCCAAAUCUAGGGAAGAUAACUUCUUUCAGCAUCUUGAUAGAGGUGUUGUGAUCAGCACUACUAGUGGGGAUAGCUUCUACCCACUUAGUGACGUAAUCAACAACAACUAGGAUAUGAGUAUACCCGUUGGAUAUUGGAAAAGGUCCCAUAUAAUCAAUGCCCCAAACAUCAAAUGGUUCAAUGACAAGUGAAUAGUUCAUAGGCAUUUCCUGACGUUUACUGAUAUUACCUAUUCUUUGACAUUCGUCACAAGACAAGACAAACUUACGGGCCUUCUUAAAGAGAGUGGGCCAAUAAAAACCUGAUUGCAAUACCUUGUGUACAGUUCUAUCUCCCGCAUGGUGUCCUCCGUAGGCCUCGGAGUGAAACUUAUGUAGGAUCUGUCCCUGUUCAUGUUCAGGUACACAACGUCUAAUAACACCAUCUACUCCUUCCUUAUAAAGGCGAGGAUCAUCCCAAAAGUAAUGUCUUAAGUCAAAGAAGAAUUUCUUCUUUUGCUGGUAUGUGAAACUAGGUGGUAUAUAUUUGGCAACGAUAUAGUUUGCAUAAUCAGCAUACCACGGUGCACUACGUGAAGCAUUGUUGACAUUCAAUUGCUCACCAGGAAAGCUAUCAUCAAUAGGUUGUGGGUCAUCAAGAACGUUCUCCAACCUAGACAAGUUAUCUGCUACUGGGUUAUCACCACCCUUUCUGUCGACAACGUGCAAAUCAAAUUCUUGUAGCAAGAGAACCCAUAUGAUAAGUCUAGGUUUAGCAUCCUUCUUCUCCAUGAGGUACUUAAUAGCAGCAUGAUCAGUGUGAAUAGUGACUUUGGAAUCAACUAUGUAAGACCUGAACUUUUCACAUGCAAACACGACUGCUAAAAAUUCCUUCUCCGUAGUGGCAUAGUUUCUUUGGGCACUGUCUAGAGUUUUACUAGCAUAGUGAAUAGCAUUCAACUUCUUAUCAACUCUUUGCCCUAGGAUAGCAGCAACAACAUAAUCACUAGCGUCACACAUGAUCUCAAAAGGCAAGUUCCAAUCAGGUGGUUGAACAAUAGGUGCGGUUAUCAAAGCCCUCUUAAGUAUUUCAAAGGCUUCCUCACAAUCUUCGUAAAAAACAAAAGGAAUAUCCUUUUGCAAGAGAUUGGUAAGAGGCCUAGAAAUCUUAGAGAAGUCUUUAAUGAACCUUCUAUAGAAACCAGCAUGACCAAGGAAACUUCUUAUACCUUUGAUAUCUGUGGGGUAUGCCAUUUUCUCGAUUGCAUCAACCUUAGCCUUAUCAACUUCAAUACCUCUUGCAGAAAUUUUAUGUCCUAAGCCGAUGCCUUCAUUAACCAUAAAGUGGCACUUCUCCCAAUUCAAGACAAGAUUGGUGUAUUUACAUCCCUGCAGGACUCGAUCAAGGUUGCUGAGGCAAUCAUCAAAGGAAGACCCGUAAACGGAGAAGUCAUCCAUGAAAACCUCAACAAUCUUUUCACAAAAGUCAGAGAAUAUAGCCAUCAUACAUCUUUGAAAGGUGGCAGGUGCAUUACAUAAGCCAAAAGGCAUACGUCUAUAAGCAAAGGUACCGAAAGGGCAGGUGAAAGUGGUUUUCUCCUGAUCAGAUUGUGCAACUGGUAUUUGGGAGAAACCAGAAUAUCCGUCUAGAAAGCAGAAGUGUGUGUGUUUGGACAACCUUUCUAGCAUUUCGUCGAUAAAAGGAAAAGGGUAAUGAUCUUUCCUAGUGGCUUUAUUCAAUUUCCUAAAAUUGAUCACCAUCCUGUAGCCGGUGAUAAUCCUCUGUGGGAUCAAUUCAUCUUUAUCAUUAGGGACAACGGUAAUGCCUCCCUUCUUAGGGACGCAAUGCACUGGACUCACCCAAUCGCUGUGAGCAACAGGAUAAAUGAUACCUGCUUCCAGGAGCUUUAGUAUUUCUUUUCUCACUACUUCUUUCAUCUUAGGAUUUAAUCUUCUUUGAUGAUCAACAACUGGUUUGAAGUCAGGAUCAGUUUUAAUCUUGUGUUGGCAUAGGGUAGGACUAAUGCCCUUAAGAUCAUCAAGAGUAUAUCCAAUAGCAGCACAGUGCUUUCUCACAGUUUUUUAGUAACUUCUUUUCUUCAUGCUCUGAGAGGCUAGCACUAAUAAUAAUAGGAUAUAUCUCCUUUUCAUCAAGAUAGGCAUACUUAAGAGUAUCAGGCAACUGUUUAAGCUCGAACACAGGAUCACCCUUUGGUGGGGGUGGAUCCCCAAGCAGUUCAACAUGCAAGUUAUUCUUAAGGAUAUGAUAUUGUUCUAAGACAACUCUAUCUAUCUCAUCCCUUUCAUCCAUAUGCAUAUCAUUUUCAUGCUCAAGCAAGUAUUGCUCUAAGGAAUCAGUAGGAGGCACGGUAAUAGAAGCUAAGGCAAUAGUUUCAUCCUUACUAGGCAACUCCUUUUCAUGAGGUUGUCUAUCAAACUUAGAGAAAUUGAACUCAUGUGACACACCUUCAAAGCCAACAAUGACAGUUUGCUUCUCACAAUCAAUAUGAGCAUUGACAGUAUUGAGAAAGGGCCUACCAAAUAUGAUGGGAAAAAAGCUAUCUUGUGCAGUAGCAAGAACGAGGAAAUCAGCAGGAUACUUCGUUUUACCACACAAGACUUCAACAUCCAUAACAAUUCCGACAUUGCAGAUAGUAUCUCUAUUGGCAAGCUGAAUAGUGACAUCUAUAGGUUCUAUCUCAACAGAUGCAAUCUCGUCUUUGAUUUCAUCAUAUAAGGAUUGAGGUAUUGCACUAACACUAGCACCCACGUCACAUAAACCAUGAUAACAAUGAUCUCCUAUCUUAACAGAAUCCACAUGCAUGCCAACAACAGGCCUAUGUUUGUCUCUAGCGUGAGGUUUAGCAAUUCUAGCAGCAUCUUCACAGAAGUGAAUAUUAUGUCCCUCAACUUCUUCAGACAGAAGAUCUUUGAUAAUAGCAAUGCUAGGUUCAACUCUAAUUUGCUCAGGGGGUGUAGGUGUUCUAAUAUAGCCUCUACGAAUCACAGUUGAAGCUUUAGAAUGAUCCUUUAUCCUAAGAGGGAAAGGUGGUUUCUCAAUGUAAGCACUGGGAAUAAUAGGAUCAUUAUAGGCAAUGACUUUCUCUUCAACUGGAGUUGGUUUAACUACAUUGACUUCUAAAGGAGGAUGAUAUUUAAACCACUUCUCUUUGGGGAGAUCAAUAUGAGUAGCAAAGGAUUCACACAAUGAAGCUACUAUCUCAGAGUCAAGUCCAUACUUAGCGCUAAAAUCACUAAAGGUAUUUGUCUCAACAAAGGAUUUAACGCAAUCAAACGUGAAAUUCAUACCUGAUUCCUUACCUUCUUCAAGCUCCCAAUCUUCAGAGUUGCGUUUAAUUCUCUCCAAUAAAUUCCAUUUGAAGUCAAUAUCUCUCUUCAUAAAAGAACCGGUACAAGAAGUGUCAAGCAUGGUGCGAUCAUCAUGAGAAAGCCGAGCAUAGAAGUUCUGAAUGAUAAUUUCUCUCGAGAGCUCAUGAUUGGGGCAUGAAUAUAACAUUUAUUUAAGCCUCCCCCAAGCUUGAGCGAUGCUUUCUCUGUCAUGAGUCCAAAAAUUGUAAAUAUAAUUCCGAUCACAAUGUACUAAAUGCAUAGGAUAAAACUUUUGACGAAAUUCCAAUUUCAACCGAUUGUAGACCCAUGAUCCGGUAUCAUCACAUAGCCUAUACCAUGUCAACGCCUUAUCCUUCAAAGAUAAAGGAAAGACCCUCUUAUUGACCUCAUCCUCGGGCACACCUGCAAGCUUAAAUAAACCACAAACUGUUGGAAUUAUGCCCUAGAGGCAAUGAUAAAUAAGUUAUUAUUAUAAUUCCUGUAUCAAGAUAAUCGUUUAUUAUCCAUGCUAUAAUUGUAUUGAAUGAAGACUUAGAUACGUGUGUGGAUACAUUGACAAAACACUGUCCCUAGCAAGCCUCUAGUUGGCUAGCCAGUUGAUCAAGGAUAAUUGUUGCUUGAUAACUGGAUCACAUCAUUGGGUGAAUCAUGUGAUGGACUAGACCCAAACUAAUAGACGUAGCAUGUUGGUCGUGUCAUUUUGUUGCUACUGUUUUCUGCGUGUCAAGUAUUUAUUCCUAUGACCAUGAGAUCAUAUAACUCACUGACACCGGAGGAAUGCUUUUUGUGUAUCAAACGUCACAACGUAACUGGGUGACUAUAAAGAUGCUCUACAGGUAUCUCCGAAGGUGUCCGUUGAGUUAGUAUGGAUCAAGACUGGGAUUUGUCACUCCGUGUGACGGAGAGGUAUCUCGAGGCCCACUCGGUAAUACAACAUGACACACAAGCCUUGCAAGAAAAUGUAACUUAGUGUAAGUCACGGGAUCUUGUAUUACAGAACGAGUAAAGAGACUUGCCGGUAAACGAGAUUGAAAUAGGUAUGCGGAUACUGACGAUCGAAUCUCGGGCAAGUAACAUACCGAAGGACAAAGGGAAUGACAUACGGGAUUAUAUGAAUCCUUGGCACUAAGGUUCAAGCGAUAAGAUCUUCGUAGAAUAUGUAGGAUCCAAUAUGGGCAUCCAGGUCCCGCUGUGGGAUAUUGACUAGGAGUCCCUCGGGCCAUGUAUACAUAGUUCUCGAACCCACAGGGUCUGCACACUUAAGGUUCAGCGUUGUUUUAUGCGUAUUUGAGUUAUAUGGUUGGUUACCGAAUGUUGUUCAGAGUCCCGGAUGAGAUCACUGACAUCUCGAGGGUUUCUGGAAUGGUCUGGAGACGAAGAUUGAUAUAUAGGAUGACCUCAUUUGAUUACCGGAAAGUUUUCGGCAUUACCGGGAAUGUACCGGGAGUGACGAAUGGGUUCCGGAUGUGCACCGGGGGAGGGGGGGAGGGGGGCAGCCCACCCGGGGAAGCCCAUAGGCCUUAGGGGGUGCCGCACCAGCCCUUAGUGGGCUGGUGGGCAAGCCCAAGAAGGCCCCUACGCAGGUUAAGAGAAAAUCAAAGAGUAAAGAAAAAAUGGGGAAGUGGGAAGGAAGGGAAGGACUCCACCUUCCAAUCCUAGUUGGACUAGGAUGGGAGGAGGAUUCCUCCUCCCCCCUUUGGCCGACCCCCUUGGGGCUCGUUGAGCCUCAAGGCAAGGCCCCUCCCCUCCCUCCUAUAUAUACGGAGGUAUUAGGGAUGAUUUGAGGCAACUUUGCCAUGCCAGCCCGACCACAUACCUCCAUGGUUUUUCCUCUAGAUCGCGUUUCUGUGAAGCUCGGGCGGAGCCCUCCUGAGAUUAGAUCACCACCAACCUCCGGAGCGCCGUCAUGCUGCUGGAGAACUCAUCUACCUCUCCAUCUCUCUUGCUAGAUAAAGAAGGCCGAGAUCAUCAUCGAGCUGUACGUGUGCUGAACGCGGAGGUGCCGUCCGUUCGACACUAGAUCGGAGCAGAUCGUGGGACGAUUCGUGGGACGGUUCGUUGGGCGGAUCGAGGGACGUGAGGACGUUCCACUACAUCAGCCACGUUUAUUAAUGCUUCUGCUGUGCGAUCUGCAAGGGUACAUAGAUCGGAAAUCCCGUGUCAUAGAUGGACAUCACCAUGAUAGGUCUUCGUGCACGUAGGAAUUUUUUUGUUUCCCAUGCGACGUUCCCCAACAAUGGCAUCAUGAGCUAGGUUCAUGCGUAGAUGUCAUCUUGAGUAGAAUACAAAAGUUUUUGUGGGCGGUGAUGUGCGAUUUGCUGCCCUCCUUAGUCUUUUCUUGAUUCCGUGGUAUUGUUGUAUCAAAGCAGCACAGACCGACAUUACUCGUACGCUUACGAGAGACUGGUUUCAUCGCUACGAGCAACCCCGUUGCUCAAAGAUGACUGGCGAGUGUUGGUUUCUCCAACUUUAGUUGAAUCGGAUUUGACCUAGGAGGUCCUUGGAUGAGGUUAAAUAGUAAUUCAUAUAUCUCCGUUGUGGUGUUUGCGUAAGUAAGAUGUGAUCCUACUAGAUACCCAUGGUCACCAUGUAAAACAUGCAACAACAAUUAGAGGACGUCUAACUUGUUUUUGCAGGGUAUGCUUGUGAUGUGAUAUGGCCAACGAUGUGAUGUGAUAUAUUGGAUGUUUGAGAUGAUCAUGUUGUAAUAGUUAAUAUCGACUUGCACGUUGAUGGUACGACAACCGACAGGAGCCAUAGGGUUGUCUUUAAACUAAUGUUUGUGCCUGCAGAUGCGUUUACUAUAUUGCUAGGAUGUAGCUUUAGUAGUAAUAGCAUGAGUAGCACGACAACCCCGAUGGCGACACAUUGAUGGAGAUCAUGGUGUGGCGCCGGUGACAGAAGAUCGUGUCGGUGCUUUGGUGAUGGAGAUCAAGAAGCACGUGAUGAUGGCCAUAUCAUGUCACUUAUGAAUUGCAUGUGAUGUUAAUCCUUUUAUGCACCUUAUUUUGCUUAGAACGACGGUAGCAUUAUGAGGUGAUCUCUCACUAAAAUUUCAACACGAAAUUGUGUUCUCCCCGACUGUGCACCGUUGCUACAGUUCAUCGUUUCGAGACACCACGUGAUGAUCGGGUGUGAUAGACUCAACGUUCACAUACACCGGGUGCAAAACAGUUGCACACACGGAACACUCGGGUUAAGAUUGACGAGCCUAGCAUGUGUAGACAUGGCCUCAGAACACAUGAGACCGAAAGGUCGACCAUGAAUCAUAUAGUUGAUAUGAUUAGCAUAGGGAUGCUUACCACUGAAACUAUCCUCAACUCACGUGAUGAUCGGACUUGAGCUAGUGGGAUUGGAUCAUGAACCACUCAAAUGACUAGAGAGAUGUACUUUUUGAGUGGGAGUUUAGCAACUAAUUUGAUUAAGUUAAACUAUAAUUAUCUUGAACAUAGUCUAAGUCCACUUUGAAUAUAUUUUUGUUGUAGAUCAAUGGCUCACGCGACAGUCACUCUGAAUUUUAAUACGUUCCUAGAGAAAGCUAAGUUGAAAGAUGAUGGAAGCAACUUUGUAGACUGGGCUCGUAAUCUUAAGUUUCUCCUGCAAGCUAGGAAGAAGGAUUAUGUCCUUAAUGCUGAGCUAGGAGAUGAACCACCCCCUACGGGUGACCAAGAUGUUAAGAACACUUUGUUAACACGUAAGGAGGACUACUCAAUAGUUCAAUGUGCAGUCUUGUAUGGCUUAGCACCGGGACUUCAACGUCGCUUUGAGUGUCAUGGAGCAUAUGAGAUGUCCCAGGAGUUGAAGUUUAUCUUUCAGAAGAACGCCCGGAUCGAGAGGUAUGAGACCUCCGAUAAAUUCUAUGCUUGCAAGAUGGAGGAGAAUUCGUCUGUCAGUGAACAUGUGCUCAAAAUGUCUGGGUACUCAAACCGUCUAGCUGAGCUGGGGAUUGAACUCCCACAAGAGGCUAUCACUGACGGAAUUCUUCAAUCACUGCCGCCAAGCUAUAAGGGCUUUUUGUUGAGCUAUAACAUGCAAGGGAUGAACAAGUCACCCGGCAAGUUAUUCGCGAUGCUGAAAGUCGCAGAGUCAGAACUUCGCAAAGAGCAUCAAGUGUUGAUGGUGAAUAAGACCACUAGUUUCAAGAGAAAGGGCAAAGGAAAGAAGGGUAAUUCGAAGAAGAGCGGCAAGCCUGUUGCCAAUCCGAUGAAGAAACCCAAAGAUGGACCUAAGCCUGAAACGGAGUGCUAUUAUUGCAAGGGUAUGGGUCACUAGAAGCACAACUGCCCCAAGUAUCUGGCUGAUAAGAAGGCGGCCAAAGAAAAAUCAGGUAUAUUUGAUAUACAUGUUAUUGAUGUGUACUUAAGGAGCUCUCGUAGUAGUGCGUGGGUAUUCGAUACCGGUUCUGUUGCUCAUAUUUGCAACUCAAAACAGGAACUGCGGAAGAAGCGAAGGCUGGCGAAUGAUGAAGUGACGAUGCACGUGGGAAAUGGUUCCAAGGUUGAUGCAAUCGCCGUCUGCACAAUUUCACUUCAGUUACCAUUAGGAUUAGCUAUGAACUUAAGUAAUUGUUAUUUAGUGCCUGUGUUAAGCAUGACCAUUAUAUCUGGAUCUUGUUUAUUGCAAGACGGUUACUCGUUUAAGUUAGAGAAUAAUGGUUGUUCUAUUUCUAUGAGUAAUAUCUUUUAUUGUCAUGCACCCAAUGUGAGAGGAUUGUUCAUAUUGAAUCUUGGUAGUGAUAAUACUCAUAUACAUAACAUUGAGACCAAAAGAGUUAGAGUUAACAAUGAUAGCGCCAUGUUUUUAUGGCACUGCCGCUUAGGUCAUAUUGGUGUAAAGCGCAUGAAGAAACUCCAUACCGAUGGACUUUUGGAGUCACUUGACUUUGAUUCACUUAACACGUGCGAACCAUGCCUCAUGGGCAAGAUGACUAAAACUCCGUUCUCCGGAACAAUGGAGCAUGCAAGUGACUUGUUGGAAAUCAUACAUACCGAUGUGUGUGCUCCGAUGAGUGUGGAGCUACGCGGCGGAUAUCGUUAUUUUCUCACCUUCACUGACGAUUUGAGUAGAUAUGGUUAUGUCUACUUGAUGAAGCACAAGUCUAAAACAUUUGAAAAUUUCAAGCAAUUCCAGAGUGAAGUUGAAAAUCAUCGUAACAAGAAGAUCAAGUUCCUACGGUCUGAUCUUGGGGGUGAAUAUCUGAGUUUCGAGUUUGGUGAUCACUUAAGACAAUGUGGAAUUGUUUCACAGUUGACACCGUCUCGAACACCACAUCAUAAUGGUGUGUCCGAACGUCGUAAUCAUACUUUAUUAGAGAUGGUGCGAUAUAUGAUGUCUCUUACCGAUUUGCCGUUAUCAUUUUGGGGUUAUGCAUUAGAAACAGCUGCAUUCACUUUAAAUAGGUCCUACUGCAACAAAAGACCUUCCAACGGCGCCAGAAAUAGGCGUGUUGUUGGGAGACUAUUCUUGUCUUGAUACUCCUCGUCAACGGCACUAGGAAUCCUUCUGCUAUGGCUACGCCUUAAGGGACUUCUUUGGCAAAUAUGCAAAGGAUUCCCCCGCGGCCUUGGGGCCUUGCGUUGGUGUUCCCUCGAAGCGGAAAGGUGAUGUAGCACAGCGGCGGUAAGUAUUUCCCUCAGUUUUGAGAACCAAGGUAUCGAUCCAGUGGGAGGAUCGCGUCAAGUCACAAGUACCUACACAAACACAAAGAGCUUGCACCCAACGCUAUGAAGGGGUUGUAAAUCCCUUAUAGAUUGUUUGCAAAGUGAGAACUGAAAGCAAAAAGUAAACAAAGCAAAGUAAAAGUGAAAGUGGAGACGAUAGUUGUGAAUAGACCCGGGGGCCGUAGUGUUCACUAGUGGCUUUCUCUCAUGAAAGCAAGUAGACGGUGGGUGAACGAAUUACUGUGGAGCAAUUGCGACAGCCUGAAGAAUUUGCGUAGCAAUCAGCAGAGAAAAGAAUCAACUCAAAAUCUCUUACAGAAAAAAAUGAAAAUUCUUUUCGUGAUAAGAAAGUUUCUGUCUUUUCCACAAUGACCAAACGAUCAUGCCCAAGACUAAUCAUAAUGGUUUCACUUGGCACAAACGCAAAAGAAACACAAAAAACACAAUCAUAACAGAAUUAUGAAAGUGUGGAAAACACAAAACAGAAAUAAAAAGGAUAGAUUCGUUGGGUUGCCUCCCAACAAGCGCUAUUGUUUAACGUCCUUAGCUAGGCAAAAGGUGAUGGAAUCACGUAUAGUCAUCUUUGGUGCUCAAACCAUAAGUAGCCCUCAUCAUAGAUUCAUAAGGCAAUCUUAUUUUAUUUCUAGGAAAAUGUUACAUGCCCUUCUUUAGAGGAAAUUGAAAUCUAAUAUUCCCUUCCUUCAUAUCGAUGACAGCACCAAUAGUCCUUAGGAAAGGUCUACCAAUAAUAAUGGGAUAUGAAGGAUUGCAAUCUAUGUCAAGUCCAAUGAAAUCCACGGGUAUAUAGUUCUUAUUUGGAACAAUAAGAACAUCAUCGAUCCUUCCCAUGGGUUUCUUGACAGUAGAAUCCGCAAGAUGCAAAUUAAGAGAACACUCUUCAAUCUCAUGAAAACUAAGAAUAUCACAUAAAGACUUUGGAAUCGCGGAAACACUAGCACCCAAAUCACACAAAGCAUUGCAUUCAUAGUUUUUGAUUUUGAUUUUGAUAGUAGGUUCCCACUCAUCAUGAAGUUUUCUAGGUAUAGAGACUUCUAGUUCGAGCUUCUAUUCAAGAGGUUUCAUCAUACCAUCUACGAUAUGUGCGGUAAAGGCUUUGCUUUGGUUAUAAGCAUGUGGAGAAUUUGCAAUGGAUUGCAUCAAAGAAAUGCAUUCAAACAAGGAGCAACUAUCAUAAUUGAAUUCNNNNNNNNNNNNNNNNNNNNNNNNNNNNNNNNNNNNNNNNNNNNNNNNNNNNNNNNNNNNNNNNNNNNNNNNNNNNNNNNNNNNNNNNNNNNNNNNNNNNGAAGUCCAAGAAGGGUAACGAUGCCAUCUUCGUCGUCAUCGACAAGUUGAGUAAAGUGGCUCAUUUUCUUCCAGUCAAGGAAUCCAUCUCCGUAGCUCAGCUUGCAGAGCUGUACACAUCCAGGAUAGUGUCUUUGCACGGCGUGCCUAUGAUGAUUUCUUCAGAUCGUGGAAGUAUCUUCACUUCCAAGUUUUGGGACUCUUUUCAGUCUGCGAUGGGCACGAAGAUACGCUUCAGCACAACUUUUCAUCCUCAGACUAGUGGUUAAAUGGAGAGAGUCAAUCAUGUCCUUGAGGAUAUGCUGAGAGCCUGUGUUAUCUCUUUUGGCAUGAAGUGGGAAGACUGCCUGCCUUUCGCUGAAUUCUCAUAUAACAACAGUUAUCAAGCUAGUUCAGGCAAAGCUCCGUUUGAAUUCUCUAUGGCAGGAAGUGCCGUACCCCGCUCAACUGGUCCGAGACCGGCGAUCGUCAGAUUCUUGGGAAUGACUUGAUAGAAGAAGCUGAAGAGAUGUGUCGGGUCAUUCGGGAUAAUCUCAAAGCAGCGCUGUCCCGUGAGAAGAGCUAUUAUGAGAGCAAGCAUCGUGACAUGUCCUAUGAGCUCGAUGACUUCGUCUAUCUCAAGGUCUCCCCUAUGAAGGGUACACAGUGCUUUGCAUCAAAGGCAAGCUUCUUUUCGUGGGUCCUUACAUAAUUGUUGGCCGUGACUUGACGAGGUCCUCGCCGUCGAUGUCGUGCCCCUGCGUCCUCUCCAACCCUUCGGCAAGCACGCGGAACCUCCAGGGGACCCGUUCCCGCAGCUAGGAGGAGCAGAUCUGCACUGCUACCCCUACUUCGACGGCGUCUUCUUCCUCUCCGACGAUACCCUCCGCCGCGGCUUCUUCCACUCCUUCCUCUACUUCCUCUCCGACAGGCUCGACGUCCUCGUCCGGUGGGUGAGCCCAAGUCUUCCUUCCCCCUUCCUAUCGGUAGAUCCAGCGCAUAGGGUCGUAGCUUCGCCGCCGAGGAUGUCUCUGUCGCCGGCGCCGCCGCGUGUCGUCGAGCCGUAGGUAUAGGCCUCCUCGUGGAGAGUUAGCUAGCGGAAUGGAACCAUGGGAGCCUCUUCUCCCUUCCAUCGACGAGCCGUGAUACGUCUCAAACGUAUCUAUAAUUUUUUAUGGUUUCAUGCUGUUAUCUUGUCAUCCUUGGAUGUUUUAUGUACCUUUUAUAUCUUUUUUGGGACUAACUUAUUAAUUCAGUGCCAAGUGCCAGUUCCUGUUUUUUUCUGUGUUUUUGGCUCUUUUCAGAUCUGAUUUUGGAACGGAUUCCAAACGGAAUAAAAUCCCCGAAAUAAAAUUUUCCCGAACGGAAGAAGAUCAGGGGGCUUGAGGGCCAAGCCAGGAGGGCUACAGGGGGCCCACAAGCCCCCCAUCCGCCACCAGGGGGCGGCGGAUGGAAGGCUUGUUGCCUCCCUGGCGCCCCCUAACCUAACUCCUUCGCCUAUAUAUUCCCUAAAAUACAGAAAAAAAAUCAAGGGAUCCACGAAAAUACUUUUCCGCCGCCGCAAGCUUCCGUUUCCGCGAGAUCUCAUCUGGAGACCCUUCCCAGUGCCUUUUAUAUCUUUUUUGGGACUAACUUAUUAAUUCAGUGCCAAGUGUCAGUUCCUGUUUUUUCUAUGUUUUUGUCUCUUUUCAGAUCUGAUUUUGGAACGGAGUCAAAAUGGAAUAAAAUCCCCGAAAUAAUUUUUUCUAGAACGGAAGAAGAUCAGGAGACUUGAGGGCCAAGGCAGGAGAGCCACAGGGGGCCCACAAGCCCUGUAGCCGCCACCAGGGGGCGGCGGCUACCAGGCUUGUGGCCUCCCUGACGCCCCGUGACCUAGCUCCUUCGCCUAUAUAUUCCCUAAAAAUACAGAAAAACAGGGGAAUCCACGAAAACACUUUUCCGCCGCCGCGAGCUUCCAUUUCUGCGAGAUCUCAUUUGGAGACCCUUCCCGGUGCCCUGCCGGAGGGGACUUUGGAGUUGGAGGGCUUCUACAUGAACAUCAUCGCCCCUCCAAUGAGUCGUGAGUAGUUCACUUCAGACCUACGGGUACAUAGUUAUUNNNNNNNNNNNNNNNNNNNNNNNNNNNNNNNNNNNNNNNNNNNNNNNNNNNNNNNNNNNNNNNNNNNNNNNNNNNNNNNNNNNNNNNNNNNNNNNNNNNNAAUGGGCCUAUCCUGAGAUAUGUGUGCUUCUAGCAAAAWAUGCUUCAACCCAAACAAAUCAGACAUUUUCAAUAGUAAAAUAGGUAUUGGGCCAGGCCCAUGUAGGCUAGAUUGCUGGACAGGGAUCUGAAAUUAAUGAUGAUUCCAUUUGGUCACUAGCAAUGCCACGUCAGAUCCUACGUGGCUCGCACAAAUGGGUAAUGACCAAAGCAAAAUUUUUGGUCGAUAGAGACCUAUGACCAAAAUUUUUAAAAGGUCAAGUUUGUUCAUUCUUGACGGCCAACUGUUGACGUUGUAAAUUUGGUCAAAAAAGUCAAUAAACGUCAACAAUGACGAAUCAAUGACCAAUAUAGGGAGUCAUAAUUGACCUUAUUUCUUGUAGUGUUGCUUGAAGUAUUAUUGUUUUCCACGUCAAUAGGAAACUAUUGUUUUGAAUCCAAUGGAUCUGAACAUUCACGUCACAUAAGAGGAGUUACAAAGGACAUCUAUGCUAGGUAGUAUGAAAGCAUCAAAAAUUCAUUCUUUAUCACUUCCCUACUCGAGGACGGGCAGGAGUUAAGCUUGGGGAUGCUUGAUACAUCUCAAACGUAUCUAUAAUUUUUGAUGGUUUCAUGUUGUUAUCUUGUCAUCCUCAGAUGUUUUAUGUACCUUUUAUAUCUUUUUGGGACUAACUUAUUAAUUCAGUGCCAAGUGCCAGUUCCUGUUUUCUGUGUUUUGGCUCUUUUAGAUCUGAUUUUGGAACGGAGUCCAAGCGGAAUAAAAUCCCAGAAAUAAAUUUUCCCGAACGGAAGAAGAUCAGGGGGCUUGAGGGCCAAGCCAGGAGGGCUACAGGGGGCCCACAAGCCCCCCAUCCGCCACUAAGGGGGCGGCGGAUGGCAGGCUUGUGGCCUCCCUGGCGCCCCCCUCGACCUAACUCCUUCGCCUAUAUAUUCCCUAAAACACACACAAAAAUACAGGGAUCCACGAAAAUAACUUUCCGCCGCCGCAAGCUUCCGUUUCCGCGAGAUCUCAUUUGGAGACACUUCCCGGUGCCCCGNNNNNNNNNNNNNNNNNNNNNNNNNNNNNNNNNNNNNNNNNNNNNNNNNNNNNNNNNNNNNNNNNNNNNNNNNNNNNNNNNNNNNNNNNNNNNNNNNNNNGCAUGCAAGCUUGUGGGCUCCCUGACGGCCCACUACCCCCUCUUUUGCUAUAUGAAGGGUUUCGUUCCAGAAAAAAUCAAUCGGGAGCUUUUUCGUGGUUUCGCCGCCGCCACGAGGCGGAACUUGAGCAGAUCCAAUCUAGAGCUCCGGCACGACGAUGCUGCCGGGGAAACUUCCCUCCCGGAGGGGGAAAUCAUCGCCAUCGUCAUCACCAACACUCCUCUCGUCGGAGGGGAGGCAUCUUCAUCAACACCAUCUCCUCUCCAAUCUCUAGUUCAUCUCUUGUAACCAAUCUCCGUCUCACGACUCCGAUUGGUACUUGUAAGGUUACUAGUAGUGUUGAUUACUCUUUGUAGUUGAUGCUAGUUGGAUUACAUGGUGGAAGAGUUUAUGUUCAGAUCCUUGAUGCUAUUCAUUACACCUAUGAUCAUGAUUAUGAUUAUGCUUUGUGAGUAGUUACUUUUGUUCCUGAGGACAUGGGAUAAGUCAUGCUGAUAAUAGUCAUGUGAAUUUGAUAUUCGUUCGGUAUUUUGAUAUGCUGUUUGUUGUCUUUUCCUCUAGUGGUGUUAUGUGAACGUCGACUACAUAACACUUCACCAUAUUUGGGCCUAGAGGAAUGCAUUGGGGAGUAGUAAGUAGAUGAUGGGUUGCUGGAGUGACAGAAGCUUAAACCCGAGUCUAUGCAUUGCUUCGUAAGGGGCUGAUUUGGAUCCACUAGUUUAAUGCUAUGGUUAGACGUUGUCUUAAUUCUUCUUUUGUAUUUGAGGAUGCUUCUGAGAGGGGUUAAUGAUAAGUGGGAUGCUUGUCCAAGUAAGGGCAGUACCCAAGCGCUGGUCCACCCACAUAUCAAACUAUCAAAGUAACGAACGCGAAUCAUAUGAACAUGAUGAAACUAGCAUGACAAAAAUUCCCGUGUGUCCUCGGGAGCGUUUUUCCUCCUAUAAGACUUUGUUCAGGCUUGUCCCUUGCUACAAAAGGGAUUGGGACACUUGUUGCACUGUUGCUACUACUUGUUACUUGUUACUUUUCGCUUGAUACGUUUCACCUCACUACACCAUCACUUGUUACCGCUACUUUUAGUGCCUGCAGUUAUUACCUUGCUGAAAACCGUUUAUUAGAGCCUUCUGCUCCUCGUUGGGUUCGACACUCUUACUUAUCGAAAGGACUAUGAUUGAUCCCGUAUACUUGUGGGUCAUCAGCCCCCUGUGGCUCUCUUGCCUUGGCCCUCAAGUCCCCUGAUCUUCUUUCGUUCUGGAAAAAUUUAUUUCGGGGAUUUUAUUCCCUUUGGACUCCGUUCCAAAAUCAGAUCUGAAAAGAGUGAAAAACACACAAAAAACAGGAACUGGCACUUCGCUGAAUUAAUAAGUUAGUCCCAAAAAAGAUAUAAAAGGUAUGUAAAACAUCCAAAGAUGACAAGAUAACAACAUGAAACCAUAAACAAUUAUAGAUACGUUUGAGACGUAUCAAGCAUCCCCAAGCCUAACUCCUGCUCGUCCUCGAGUAGGGAAGUGAUAAAGAAUGAAUUUUUGAUGCUUUCAUGCUACCUAGCAUAGAUGUCCUUUGUAACUCCUAUUAUGUGACGUGAAUGUUCAGAUCCAUUGGAUUCAAAACAAUAGUUUGCUAUUGACGUGGAAACAAUAAUACUUCAAGCAAACUAGCAAGGUAAUCAUGAACUUUCAAAAUAACAAGGCCAAAAGAAAGUUAUCCCUACAAAAGCAUAUAGUCUGGCUAUGAUCUAUCAUCCUUGCACAACUAAUUUAAAUCAUGCACAACCCCGGUAUUGGCCAAGUAAUUGUUUUCACACCUUUACUUUCUCAAACCUUUUCAACUGUCACGCAAUACAUGGUUUUAGCACUAUAAGUGGUGUGAAGUGUGGUGGAGAUUGCAAGACAAACAAGGAGAAGAUGGUCACAUUAACUAGGCAUAUCAAUGAGCUGUGGAGAUUCUCAUCAAUAGAUAUCAAUGUGAAUGAGUAGGGAUUGCGAUACAAAUGAUGCACUAGAGCUAAGAGUAUGUGAAAGCUCUUAAAGAAAACUAGUGGGUGUGCAUCCAACUUGCUUUCUCACGAAGACCUAAGGCAAAUUUUAGGAAUCCUAUCAUUGGAAUAUACAAGCCAAGUUAGAUAAUAAAAAUUUCCCACUAGCUACAUGGUGGUGACAAAAUGAGAGACUCUCAAUCAUGAAGAUCAUGGUGCUUAAUAAGCACAAGUGUGGAAGGAUAGUAGCAUUGUCCCUUCCCUCUUUUUCUCUCAUUUUUUUGUGGGCCCUUUGGCCUAUUUUUUUUGGUGGGCAUCUUUGGCCUCUUUUUGUAUAUGGGCUUCACUGGCCUCUUUUAUUUCCUCACAUGGGAUAAUGCUCCAUCAAUGAUGAUCAUCACACUUACAACUCAAAACUUAGAACAAUGAUGACUCUAUAUGGAAUGCCUUCGGUAGUGUACCGUGACAAUGAUCUAGCAUGGCAUAGACAUUAAGGGAAACAUCAUGCUAGCUAUCUUACGAUCAUGCAAUGGCAAUGUAGACGUGGUGGAACAUGUCAUGGUGGUAGUUGCAUGGCAAUAUAUCUCGGAAUGACUUUGAAAAAGCCAUAGUAGGUAGGUAUGGUGGCUGUUUUGAGGGAGGCUAAUGGUGGGUUCUGUGCACCGGCGAAAGUUACACGGCACUAAGAAGAUAGUGAUGGUGGAAGGUGAAAGUGCAUCUAAACCAUGGGCUCAACAUUAAUCAUGAAGAACUCAUAUACUUGUUGUGAAAGUUUUAGUAGUAAUCGAAACAAAGCGCAUACUCCUAGGGGAAGGGUUGGUAGGUAUAAACCAUCGCGCGAUCCCGACCGCCACACAAAGGAUGACAAUCAAUAGACUAAUCAUGCUCAGACUUCAUCACAUAGAGGUUCACCAUACGUGCAUGCUACGGGAAUCACUAACUUCAACACAAGUAUUUCUAGAUCCACAACACCUUACUAGCAUAACUUUAAUAUUACCACAACCACAACUCAAAACUAAUUGAGAUGAAUCAAACUUCUCUAACUAUUCAAUGCACAUGAAGGUGGAAGUUUUCAUAUCCCUUUGGAUAACUACCCCUUUUUGAGACUACUUUCAUAGCAUCGAUCAACUACCAAGCCACGCGCUUCCGUGCUCUAAAAUAUAAAAGUGAAGCACAUAGAGCAAAAUUAACUAGCUCAAAAGAUAUAAGUGAAGCACAUGUGAGCUGAAUUGUCUACCAAAGGAUAUAAGUGAAGCUCGACAAAAUCACGGUAAGUGCAUGUAUCUCUCUCUAGGUGACACAGCAAUAAUAAAAGACUCCUACGAUACAAGACGCUCCAAGAAAAACACAUAACAUGUGGUGAAUAAAAAUAUAGCCCCAAGUAACGUUACCGAUGGAUUGAAGACGAAAGAGGGGAUGCCUUCCCGGGGCAUCCCAAGCUUAGGCUUUUACGGCAUCCUUGAAUCAUCUUGGGGUGCCUUGGGCAUCCCCAAGCUUGAGCUCUUGCCACUCUUUAUCUCUUUGUCCAUAAGAACUUCACCCAAAACUUGAAAACUUCACAACACGAAAGUUAAACAGAAACUCGUCAUAACAUUAGUAUAAGAAAGCAAACCACCACUUCAUUAGUUACUGUAGCAAACUUAAAUUCUACUUAUGUUGAUGUUGGGUUACUGUAUUUUCAAUCUUCCAUGGCUAAUACCCCCGAUACUAUCCAUAGUUUCAUCAAAAUAAGCAACCAACUCAACAAAAACAGAAUCUGUUAACAGCAGACCAGUCUGUAGCAAUCUGUAUACUUCGUAUACUUCUGGUACUUCAAAUAUCUGAAAAAUUCCGAAACUCUGAAGAAUUUGCGUAGCAAUGAGCAGCAAAAAGAAUCAACUCAAAAGCUCUUACAGAAAAAAAAAUGAAAAUUCUUUUCGUGAGCAGAAAGUUUUUGUCUUUUCCAGCAUGACCAAACGAUCAUCUCCAAGACUAAUCAUAACGGUUUUGCUUGGCACAAACGCAAAAAGAAACACAAAAAACACAAUCAUAACGGAAUUAUGAAAGUGUGGAAAACACAAAACAGAAAGAAAAAGGAUAGAUUCGUUGGGUUGCCUCCCAACAAGCGCUAUUGUUUAACGCCCUUAGCUAGGCAAAAGGUGAUGGAAUCACGUAUAGUCAUCUUUGGUGCUCAAACCAUAAGUAGCCCUCAUCAUAGAUUCAUAAGGCAAUCUUAUUUUCUUUCUAGGAAAUUUCUCCAUGCCCUUCUUUAGAGGAAAUUGAAAUCUAAUAUUCCCUUCCAUCAUAUCUAUGAUAGCACCAAUAGUCCUUAGGAAAGGUCUACCAAGAAUAAUGGGACAUGAAGGAUUGCAAUCUAUGUCAAGUACAAUGAAAUCCACGGGUACAUAGUUCUUAUUUGCAACAAUAAGAACAUCAUCGAUCCUUCCCAUGGGUUUCUUGACAGUAGAAUCCGUAAGAUGCAAAUUAAUAGAACACUCUUCAAUCUCAUGAAAACCAAGAAUAUCACAUAAAGACUUUGGAAUCGCGGAAACACUAGCACCCAAAUCACACAAAGCAUUGCACUCAUAGUUUUUGAUUUUGAUUUUGAUAGUAGGUUCCCACUCAUCAUGAAGUUUUCUAGGUAUAGAGACUUCUAAUUCGAGCUUCUCUUCAAGAGAUUUCAUCAUAGCAUCUACGAUAUGUGCGGUAAAGGCUUUGCUUUGGCUAUAAGCAUGUGGAGAGUUUGCAAUGGAUUGCAUCAAAGAGAUGCAUUCAAACAAGGAGCAACUAUCAUAAUUGAAUUCCUUGAAAUCCAAAGUGGGAGUUUCAUUACUAUCCAAAAUUUUGAUUUCUUCUACUCCACUCUCCACACCUUUAUCAUCAAGAUAGGUGGACUCUGAAUCAUUGGGGCAUUUUUCAACCAAAGUGGAUUCAUAUCCAGCCCCUUCAUCAAUAGGUUUGACACGCGAAAACAAAGAUUCAAGAGGAGUCACACCAAGCACUUUAAGAUAUUCGUGAUUUGCAUCACAAAUUUCAGGUUUAGCUGCCAUCUUAUUGACUAAGGUAGCCUGCUUGUCAGAAAUUUGGCCCACCAAUUUUUCAAGGUGAGCAAGCUGAGAAUUUAUUGCAAUGAAUUCUUUGGCCAUAUCAUCAACUUCGUUAUUCAAACAGGCCAUAAAAGAAUUUUCCUCCUUUAAUUCCCUACGGAAGUAACUAUUUUGGUCAAACUGAGAAGACAUGAAACCUUUAACACUAGUUUCAAUCUCUUCCAACCUUCUGAAAUAGCUUGGUUUGGCCAUGAGGAAAGAUCUCUCACAAACAAGCCUAAGACCAAGCGAGGAAAACAGGCAAAGGAAAACGACAAAAAGGCAAAAGGCAAAAGAAAACGGCAAAUGUGAAGUGGGGGAGAGGAAAACGAGAGGCAACUGGCAAAAAAAAGUAAAUGCAAGAGAUGAGUUUGUGAGACCUACUUGGAUAGAUCUCUCCUUCCCCGGCAACGGCGCCAGAAAUACUUCUGCUACUGUAACAAAAGACCUUCCAACGGCGCCAGAAACAAGCUUGCUGACGGGAGAUUAUUCUUGUCUUGAUACUCCUCAGCAAGGGCACCAGGAAUCCUUCUGCUACGGCUACGCCUUUCGGCACUUCCUUGGCAAAUAUGCAAAGGAUUCCCCCUUGACCUUGGAGCCUUGCGUUGGUGUUCCCNNNNNNNNNNNNNNNNNNNNNNNNNNNNNNNNNNNNNNNNNNNNNNNNNNNNNNNNNNNNNNNNNNNNNNNNNNNNNNNNNNNNNNNNNNNNNNNNNNNNAAGAGCAUCCUACCUAACCAUACUGAUGCAAAACAUCCUAUAGACAUCACCAUGUCAAGAGUCCUUUUGUCAAGAAACAUGCACAACAUCUAAUUCAAAAAAAUAUAAAGGUGAAUCUUUUCCUUUACAUGUGCCUUCUUUCCCCUUCGAGGAUGAUAUAUACCACUUGAUCCUUCCCUUGUGUGCAUGCAUGGGUUUGAGCGGAGCUCCACACACAGGGAUGAAAAAUUCAAGAGCAAGAGAACAUCUACACCAUCCAAGAGGGAAGCAUGGAAGCGGUGAAGGAAUUGAGAAGACCAUCGGAUGAAGCUCCCUAAACACCCCGGGUGCCCAGACUUUGGGCGCCAACCCCUCGACGCCACGGGUGCGUGAAACCCUUUACCCCGGGUUCCCGGACUUCCGUGUGUGCAUGUAUUGGGAUUGGCCCAUGUAUAUUUCACAUUUCACCCUCACUUGUCUCAUCAUGCCUUGGACCUAUAUAUACUCCUUCCCCUCCUCAUUUCUAGGAUUAGCUAAGAAUAGAUAGCAUAUGUAUCUCCUCUUGAGAGAGAGAGAGAGAGAGAGAGAGGAGGGAGGGAGGGAGGAGGAGGAGAGAGAAGUAGUGAGAGAGAGRRGGAGGAGAGAGGAGGAGGAGGAGAGAGAGAGAGAGAGAGAGAGAGAGGAGGNNNNNNNNNNNNNNNNNNNNNNNNNNNNNNNNNNNNNNNNNNNNNNNNNNNNNNNNNNNNNNNNNNNNNNNNNNNNNNNNNNNNNNNNNNNNNNNNNNNNGUAUUAUUGUUUCCACGUCAAUAGGAAACUAUUGUUUUGAAUCCAAUGGAUCUGAACAUUCACGUCACAUAAGAGGAGUUACAAAGGACAUCUAUGCUAGGUAGUAUGAAAGCAUCAAAAAUUCAUUCUUUAUCACUUCCCUACUCGAGGACGGGCAGGAGUUAAGCUUGGGGAUGCUUGAUACAUCUCAAACGUAUCUAUAAUUUUUGAUGGUUUCAUGUUGUUAUCUUGUCAUCCUCAGAUUGUUUAUUGUACCUUUUAUAUCUUUUUUGGGUACUAACUUAUUAAUUCAGUGCCAAGUGCCAGUUCCUGUUUUUUUCUGUGUUUUUGGCUCUUUUUAGAUCUGAUUUUGGAACGGAGUCCAAGCGGAAUAAAAUCCCAGAAAUAAAUUUUUCCCGAACGGAAGAAGAUCAGGGGGCUUGAGGGCCAAGCCAGGAGGGCUACAGGGGGCCCACAAGCCCCCCAUCCGCCACUAAGGGGGCGGCGGAUGGCAGGCUUGUGGCCUCCCUGGCGCCCCCCUGACCUAACUCCUUCGCCUAUAUAUUCCCUAAAACACACACAAAAAUCAAGGGAUCCACGAAAAUACUUUWCCGCCGUCCGCAAGCUUCCGUUUCCGCGUAGAUCUCAUUUGGAGUACACUUCCCCGGUGCCCCCGGCCGGACGGGGGACCUUUUGGGAGUUUGGAGGGCUUCGUACAUCAACAUCAUCGCCCCUCCAACUGACUNNNNNNNNNNNNNNNNNNNNNNNNNNNNNNNNNNNNNNNNNNNNNNNNNNNNNNNNNNNNNNNNNNNNNNNNNNNNNNNNNNNNNNNNNNNNNNNNNNNNACUAGAAUUUUCUUACAGUUGUUGGUCUAGGUUACUUAAUAUGGUGAAUUUAGCUGUGUUUUCUCUUAUUUGUGUCGAUCAUCCCACGUCUUUUUGCACCGGGCAUCAUGUUCACAUCUGUUGCGUCCGUAUCAUAUGUUGUAUCUUAUUUUGUACCCAUUUCAAAUUUUUAUCAAUAAAAUGAUGCACAACUUUUGUGUAUUCGCGAGAAAAACUCUCAUGAACGUAUUGUUUUUCAACGGUGCGUUUUACAACAUGUCAUGGUCAUUUCGUGCUUAGCUUCCACAAAUUUAUUAGCUCUUCCAGCUGUUUACUCGGAUAAAGCUUUUCCAAAUUGCGAUGCAACUGUCUCUAGCGGAGACACUAAUCACGACACAUAUUAUAUAUUUCAUUUCAGUAUGUCUCGAGGAGGUCCUUUCCUGUCACGUUGCUUAUGCACUGCUUUCUGUCUCUUGAUUUGAGUUGGUAAAUGCGUAGACGUUAAGAGUGUUAACUUGACAAAAUGACAAAGGAGCACAUUUCUCAAGGUUUCGUUUGUAAAGGGCUCUUUGCUUUGUGGUGAUAGCAAAAUCCAUGAAUAUCGUUUGCCGAUAUAGUAGAUAUGUUACUCUCAUUGUGCUUCAACAUAUUUGUUUCUUACCUCGGACAGAUCUGAAAACCUUUUUUUCUUGUCAAAUCAUUAAUUUGUGUCAGAUUUCAAAAGAAACGACAAUGAUAUAUUACCAGUAAUACUUCCUGCAUAUGAUGUUUGAUGUUUGAUGCUGCCAUUGUGCUUUAAAGUUGUUAUGCAUCCAUUGCGCUUUUACCUUUCAGAAUAUUAUUUCUGACUGUUAUUCUUGUGUCCUUAACCACCAUCAGAUAUACACCAUUUUGAUAUAUUUGAAGUUAACAUUUUUCUUAAUCUAUUCUACACAUUGUUUUUUCACACUGAAAUAAUGUCAUGAUUUUCAAGAACCAGAUAGGAUCGAUGGGUCCUUGAAAGAGGUGUUUUGUAAUCCCUAGACACUAUUGGUUUCUAUAUUCUUGAUGACCCAUGACGACUUCACGUUCAUGAUAUGUGAUGCAGGGUACAGGCCCUAUGUAGCUCAAUCUUCAUGAAUUGAAGGUGGAUUUGAGGAAGAACACCAAGAACACAAGGGGGGGGACACAAGAAGAACACUCUAUUUAACAAGAUCCACACCAAGCACUCCUAAAAUCACAAGCAAUACAUGGGAUGCAUCAAGAUUCAAAAACAAUAAAGUCUCUCCCUCCCUCCCUCCUCUCUCUCUCUCUCUCUCUCUCUCUUAAUCCCACAAGAGGAGAUAUAUAUAUGAUAUCUAUUCUUAACUAAUCCUAGAAAUGAGGAGGGGGAGUAUUUAUAGGUCCAAGGCAUGAAGAGACAAGUGAGGGUGAAAUGUGAAAUAUACAUGGGCCAAUCCCAAUACAUGCACACACGUAAGUCCGGGAACCCGAGGUAAAGGGUUUCAGGCACCCGUGGUGUCUAGGGCUGGCGCCCAAAGUCUGGGCACCCGAGUGUUUAGGGAGCUUCAUCCGAUGGUCUUCUCAGUUCCUUCUCUGCUUCCAUGCUUCCCUCUUGGAUGGUGUAGAUGUUCUCUUGCUCUUGAACUUCUCAUCGUUAUGUGAGGAGCUCCGCUCAAACCCAUGCAUGCACACAAGGAAAGGGUCAAGUAGUCUAUAUCAUCCUGGAAGGGGAAAGAAGACACGUGUAAAGGAAUAUAUUCACCUUUAUAUUUUUUAAAGUACAUGUUGCGCAUGUCUCUUGAUAAAAUGACUCUUGACAUGGUGAUAUCUGUAGGAUGCUCCGCAUCAGUAUGGUUAGGUAGGAUGCUCUUAAGCCCAUGAAUGACAAUCUUGGAGUCAGCUUGGCAAACUUCCGUGUUCUAUCUAAGCUACCCUUCUUUUACUUGUUGGCAAUGUAGCUCUCACUUUGUUUUUUUUACUCCAUUCAUCUUUCUUUCAUUGUGCUUUCUUGAAAGUCUAGAUAGACAACAGUAUACAUUUAACUAGAGUGCCAUGUUCAAAAAAUGUAUUGUAUUUGGUAUGCUCUAGAAUUAGAAUCUUAUAUUUUAGUUAAUGAAAAGCCCCACUUUUAAAAUGUAGGACAACACAACUUCAAUCUGUUCUUCUCUCACAAUUGGAUAUCUUGCAAGUUUGGGUGAGAGAAUUUCAUGGCACCACAAAGAGCCCUCGAGAAGAGUCAUUUUGUUGGUUGUGUGACUGGAGUUAUGGAGCUGGAAAUGUUUUCUAUGCCGACAUUAUGUGGUCGUUGUGGAAACUAAGAAAUGAUUUUUUUUAAACAAAUGGCCGUGGUCUUGAUUACAAGUACUCUGGGAGAGAGGCGGACAGCACAAGCACACCCAAAAGAAAGUACAAGAGAAAAUAAGAGAAAAAAUGCCAACAACGCCGGAUCGACGAAAGCUACGACACCCCGCGAUCGUUGUGCCCACCGAAGAUAACCACCACGCUUCAAAGCCAUCGAGUUGUCGUGUACCAAGCACCACCUUCAAGAAGGAAUGCGACGAUGUCGACGCUGUUGCCCGGACAAAUCCUAGGAUUUCUCCCGGUACACGGAGGAUGGUAGGGUGAGAGGGUCACCCGACACCCUUCAAGAAGGAUGGUGGCGCCCGCAGGCGUCACCGCGUUGGUGUCGGCAAGAUCCGACAGGAAUUUCUCCCGACCCCUCGCACCCGCCACACAGGACCAACCUACGGCUCCACCACACCCGCCGCUCACCAACAUGCACCAACACAGUCACGAGGAAGCCGUCGUCGUCUCACCACGGCCAACGAAGCGAGGCCGGUCGGAUCCAAACGAGACACCCAAAAACAAGGACCGACAGCACCGCAGCCACGAGGGAGGGAACAACCUCCACCGGCUUAGGCGGUAGCAGACCGGGCAUAGCAGCAGAUGCACACCAGACCAAAUGUCCAGCUGAGCCCAGAACGGGCCCGUGAAGCUCCGCCGCCACGCUGCAGCAGUCGCGACACAGCAGCCGUUGUCCCUGUCGCGAGGAGCUCACCAGAGCCACCGGAGGACAACCCACCACGGCCCCAGCAGGCCCGCCCCAACCCAGUUCGGCCCCUUAGGGCCUAGAUAUGGGCCAGCCGAGCGCCGCCGGCCGCCGCAUGCCAGGCCCAUCACCGCCGCCAAGGGGCAGCGCCUCCGUACCGCCAUCGUCCAGAUCCUCGCUGGAGCGCCGCCGGCCGAGGGGCUCCGCCGCCAGGACCGCCUGCCCGAGCCGGGAUCCAGCGACGGGGGAGGAAGGGGGCCGCCACCGCCGGGCUGCGGGGCGCCGUGCGGGCAACGCCCGGCCGCGCCCGCCGGCGGCAGCGGCGAGGGGGAGGGGCGGCGGCGGCUCGCUGGAAGGGGAAGGAGAGGGGAGCCGCCCUGGUCGCCUCGUUCGGGGAGGGCGACGCGGGGGCCUCGGGGGGAAUCAGAAUUUGAUGGCACCACAAAGAGCCCUCAAGAAAUAGCUAGUUAACUUUGAAGCAAUAACUUUUUGUUGGUUGUGUGACUGGAGUUAUGGAGCUGGAAAUGUUUUCUAUGCCCACAUUAUGUGGUCGUUGUGGAAACUAAGAAAUGAUUUAUGUUUUUUAAACAAAUGGCCGUGGUCUUGAUUACAGAGUACUCCUUGAUUACAAGUACUCUGGGAGAGAGUUGGAAUACACCUCUCGCUGCAAAACCCUAUGCUGAAAUCGUACUCGUGCUCGGCAAAACCAAUUGCUAGAAGAUGUGGAAAAGGUGAUGAUUAGUCCGGCACUACUGGUUUGCCAGCGCCCCUAUACAUCCGAUUCACAAGAAGGUCGGACCAUCUUAUAGUAUCUGCGAACGAAGAUAGUGCUGGAAAAUUGCAAUAGUAUCGGCAAACAAUAUGUGCCUCAGUGCUUGCCAUACAAAUUUCAAACAUAACAAAUCUUUUAUACAGUUUUUCUUUUUUUGAAUUGGAGGGUACUGUACCAUUUAGUUCUCCGUAUAUACUACUCCGUAUGACAGAGGAGAUGGGAAAAGAUCAGCAAGGAAUUAUCCAGUGGCAGUACCUAGGAGCAGGCUAGGUGAGCGUGAUGAAGUUCUUGAGAGAGGCGACGAGGCUGGGCGGCCAGUGCUUGGUGUCCCUGACGUAGGCGAGAUCCGAGUAGUGCGGGUCGAGCAGCGUGGCGAUGUUGAACUGGAACUCGGCCAGCAGGGGCGCGUGCUUGUCGGCGUAGAGCGCCGCCGCCAGCGCCGCGUGGAUCUCCGGGUACCCCUUGAGCGCCACCGACACGUCCUCCAUCUCCGUGAUGGACUCGUCGCGGUCGCCGAUCUCGUACAGCACCACCGCCCGCCCCACCCGCGCGUACUCCGACAGCGCCAGGUCCUUGUACCCGCUCACCACCGCCGUGAAGGACGCCAGCGCCCCCGCGAACUCGCCGCGCGCCUGCAGCUCCCGCCCGGCGUCGAGCAGCCGGACCGCCUCCCCGACGCGCUGCGACACGGCCUCGCUCGCCGCGCGCUCCGCCUCCGUCACCGGGUCGUAGUCGAGGCCGGCCGCGGACGCCGCUC
This 58327-nucleotide long non-coding RNA is filed under the name Hordeum vulgare. RNAcentral's name for it is "long non-coding RNA (HVUL_LNC006460)". The record is from RNAcentral. Lineage: Eukaryota; Viridiplantae; Streptophyta; Magnoliopsida; Poales; Poaceae.